RNAcentral lists this long non-coding RNA (66325 nucleotides) under Gossypium barbadense (sea-island cotton). RNAcentral describes it as "long non-coding RNA (GBAR_LNC021295)". Lineage: Eukaryota; Viridiplantae; Streptophyta; Magnoliopsida; Malvales; Malvaceae. The record is from RNAcentral.
CAAAACGCUGGAAAUACCGAAUGUAUGUAUGCGUAUAUAUAUGUUAGCUCUAAGUUUCUCUUUAUCUUCUAUGUGUGUAUAUAUUGGUGUUUAAUUUUGAUCUUAAAUUAUUUCUAUCAAGUUUAAUUUUUCUUUUCCAUGUUGUUGCAGUAAAGAAGCUGUGAUUCCUAUAUGUUGCCGACGGUGCAGGUUGGCUGUGGUAGUGCCAGUGGGAAUCCCGUGUGGGAAAUAUGCUUGCCCAUCGAGGAAGGUGCAGUACGCAGCUCAUUAACGAGAAAGAUUAAGAGCUUUUAAACAUUUCAUUUUUCCCAUCGAUAUCUGGAAACCUUUGAAGAUUUGAGCAACACAAAAGAAUCAAUGUUUCAAGGGAUUUCACUUCAAUUCUGGUUGGAAGACUCCUAAGACUUUUGCAGUCUUUGAAAUUCAAAAGUUUAAGCCUCUUAAGCACUCCAAAUGAUGGAUGGACAUCUACAAUUUUAAAGUCUGGGGUAUUGAUCAGGUUUUGGGACCCUUUAAAGUUGAUCACUUUCAACUAAUAUAUGGUGUCGAAACUAAUUUUUUGAAAAAUAAAAAUUUUUAGGUUGUCGAUUUUAAAAAAUAAAAAUUGGGAGUCGCCACCAAUCUUUUAUUAAGGUGUGAUUGGGUCACCUAAAAAAUGACUUUGGUCUACAAAUUUUAGAAAAACGGGUCCGGGAGUCGGUUACGUAUGAGGAAGGAUUAGCACCCUCAUUACGCCCAAAAAUUGGUACCUAGUUAAAUAAUUAAUGUCUUAAUGUCGAAAAUUUGAAAAACGUAAUCCUUAGCAAAAAAAACUUAAAACGUUACGUAUUAAGACCCUUAUCAUUUCAGAGAAAGAAAAUACCACACCCAAUAAGUUAGGGCACGACAUUCUAAUUUUCCCCAAAAAUGAAUUAGGGCAAAAUACUAGUGUAAUAAAAAUUUAAAAGAAUAUUCAUUUAUUCAAGAUUUAAGAAAUCGCAGCCCAAUACGUUAGGGCACAAUUCCUUUAGAAUCCCAAACUCGGAAUAUUUCCUUUAUUAUUAUUUUUUAAAUAUUCAUUUCGAGAAAUCAAUGCGUCACAUCCAAUACGUUAGGACACAACGUGUUGAAUUCCCAAUAAUGAGUUCUUAUUUUUAUUUGAUUUAAAGAGCAAUCCUCGAUUGUUAGAUUUUCAAAAAAAUCGGAACUCAAUACGUUAGGGCUCAAUUUCCUUGAGAAAUUCUAAAUGCGAGUAUUAUCUCUAUUUUAAAAAGUUUGAAAUCGAGUAAAAAAAUGAUGUGAUGCUACAUUAAAUAUACAACGUAAUAAUAAAUAUUUCAAUAUCAUAGAAAUAAUAUGAAUAAAGGAAUAAAUACAUAAUUAUGACAUGCAUAAUAUUAAAUAAAUGGGCAAGAUAAUAAUAAACAAUAUGCAAGCAUAAAUUGAUAAGCAAAUAUUUGAAAUAAAUAACAAAAAAAUGCAUACAGGUACACAUAAAAUAUAUAGGUUUGCAAUGAUUAAAAUAACAUCAACGUUAAUUAAAUAAAUAAAACAAGUCUAUAUAUAUUUUAUAUAUAUAUAUAUACACGAGUAUGCGAACAAUAUUAGUUUUCAAAAAAAAAAGGGAUAAAUACAUGCUUUAGAAAAAAUACAUAUAUAUACAAAAUAAUAAUAAUUACAUAUGUGAAUUAUAAGGGAAAAAUUGUAUUAUCAAAAAAAUAUUGAUUUUUAAAGAAAAUAUGGAAAAGGGGACUAAAUUGGAUUACAAGUAAAAAUAUGGGGCAAAUCCACAAAUAAAUAAAAUCGGGAGGACAAAAUUAAACAUGCGAAUUAUAUAGAGGGGCUGGAAGGGCAAUUUUUCCUUCUCCUCUAAAAUGACACCGUUCAAAAGGAUUUAAUUGGAAUUUAAAAUAAAUUAAAGGCCGAAUUUUAAAAAAAAAACAAGAAUACUUAAUUGGAAAUAUAUAAAAAGGCGGAGGGGCCAAAAGCACAAUUUGCCCCUUCGUAUGAAAAACACGCGGUUCCUAGAUCUGGGUCGGGUUGACGCGCGGAUCCUCCCUUCAAAACGGCACCGUUUUCGAUUGGCUAUUUAAGCCAAAAUUAUAAACAAAAAUUUCAUUUUUUCAAAUCCUUCAAAAAAAACGAAAAUCUUUUUUUUUAAACUCUCAACUUCUGGGCACCAGCCUCCGGUUUAGUCAUCGGCCGGUCAACGGCCACCGCACCGGCCACCGAUCUCCAGCGCCGGCACCGCCUAAUGCGGUGGCCGAAAAAAGAAAAACCCCAAAUCUGGUCUUUUCAACACUCUUGAGCCUAGAUCUGGGCUGAAAAUUCCCAAAAUCGACUAAAAAAACCUAAAAAUGCCCUAGAAACCUUUCGGAUUCUAGCCGUCUAUCAUCGGAGACGGUCCUCUUCCUCCCCGCGGCGUUUCAAAAACAAAAGCAGGUGAUUUCUUUCCUUUUUAUUUUGUUUUAUUUUCAUACAAGUGAAAAUAAAAAAAUAAAAAUAAAAGUAAAAAAAAGAACUAAAAAAAUAAAUGUAAACCUUUAGACUGAUUUUUGCUCUCUUGGAUAUUGAACUAACUGUGUUUUGCUGCGAAAAUAAUUGUGUUUUUCUUAUUGAUUUCCAAUCCCUCUUUGCAGUAUCGUCAAUGGCUUUAUAUAGCCAUAAUAUAUAAAAAAAUAUAGAAAUAAAAUCUUGUUUACAUUGAUUUGAUUCUCAAUCUCUUGAUUUCUUUCCAUAUACUGUUUUGCUUUCUUUCCUUGUUGUGCAGGUGAAGAUCGGGGCUAAGAUUCGUGGCUGCAGCGCUUGAGGAUUUCCCUAGAACCCCUAGGGUUUCUGACUAUCGUUUUGGGCAUUUGGGCCACACAUAAUUGGACCACCGUGCUUUGGGCCCCUGUUGUAUUUUGGGUUUGGGCCAUAUAGGCCAGUUGUAAUUUGGGCCCUUUUAGGCCCUGGCAAAAUCUGUUAUUACAUAUGGGAUGUUGAAAACCAUACUUAAAAAGCAAUAAAAAAAACAUAAAACCAAACCUCAAUUUUGUUUUUACAUUUUUAUCAUUGUUGACACCAUUUUUUUGAUAAAACGGGGUCGAUUUGGGUUUUAAAAAAUGAAAACGAAUGUGGGAGUCGCCACCAAUAUUUUUUGAUGAGGUGUGAUCGGGCCACCUCAAAAAAUGGUUAUUUUAAUAAACGAUUUGAAAAAACAACGAUUUUGGUCCACGAUAAAAAAAAAGAAAAUGGGUUCGGGAGUCGGUUACGUACGAGGAAGGAUUAGCACCCUCGUAAAGCCCAAAAUUGGUACCUAGCUGAUUAAUUAGUGUCUUAGCGUCGAAAAUUAAAAAUUUUGAAAAGUUAAAAAAUAAUAAUAUUAUCCUUUAUCAAAAUUUUGAAAAAUUUAAAAGGAGAAGCAUAUUUUUAGGUUAAUCGAGAAGAAGAAUUACGUCUCGUAAGUUAGGACACAAUGUCUAAAAUUCCCGAUACGAGAAUGAAAGCCGAAAAAUUUAUUUAUUUUGAAAGAGUUCGAUUAUCUCUGGUUUAAAAAAGAGAUCAUGACCCUUGAGUUAGAACACGAUCUUUUAUUAAUUCCCAAGAACGUUUAAAAACUUUGUUUGAAAUGAUUCGUGUGUUUGAAUUUUUCGAGAAAAUCGAAAUCCCAUAAGUUAGGGUACGACUUUCUUGAGUUUCUAAAUACAGAAUGUUGCAUUAUUUUUAAAAUUUUACUUUUUUGAAUUUGAGUAAGAAUUAAUGUAAUAUAACGAGAUGUAAGUUUAAUUUAUGCAAAUAUCGUGUGAAGGCAAACAAUUAUUUCAUACAAUGUAUAGUACAAUAAUAAUGAAAUAACGUAAAAUAACUAUAUUAGUAGAAUAUAUAAAGGGUAAAUAAUAAAUCAUAAAAUACAAUAAUAAUCAUGACGUAAUUAUAAUAAUAAUCACCAAAUAAUAAUAACAAUGACCGUAUUAAUUACUAUUCUAAUACUAGAAAUAUAAAAAUGAAUUAAACACUAAUAAAAAUGAUAAUAAUAAUGAUAAUAAUAAUGAAAUGUAUAAAUAAAGGAAUAAAUAACAAUAUAAAUUCUAAACACAAGAAAAGUAAGGAAAUGGAUAAAUACAUGAAUGCAUAAAUAAAUAAAUAAAACAGAACGAAAAGAAUAAAUAAAUAAAUAAAGCUCGAAAAUAAAAGGAUAAAGGAUCAAAUUGAGGUUAAAAUAAACUUUGGAGUCUAAAUUAUAAUAAAAUGGAUAAAUAAAUAUAAAAGGGACUGGAUCAAAAUUUGAAUCGACUUUAAAGGUAUAAAUUACAAAUAAAAAAGGAAAGGGCCAACUGAAAUGCACUGGAAAAGGGCGAGGACUAUAUGGGAGAUUAUUCCCAGUCCUUUAGAGCGCACCGUUUCCGUCUGGACCGAAAAGAAACAAAAAUGAAAUUAUACCGCAAAAUGUAAAGAAAAAAAAUUUAGGACUAAAUUGCAAAGCCUCGCAAAAGCGGAAGGACCACAUGCGCAAAUAGUCCCUUCACUGCAAAAACACACGGAUCCUGAGGGCCAACGGGUUGGGUUACGGGUCAGGGCCAAAACAACGUUGAUUUGGCACCUGACCCCUAAUGUCAAAAUGGUGUCGUUUAAGUAUCAUUAUUUAACUUAAAUUUUUUUCUAAAAAAAUCAUUUUUACAAAGUGUUUUUUAAAAAAACUUUCAAAACUUCCUUCUCUCUCUCUCUCACAAUGUCCGGCCCUUAGCUUCUGGCCCCCGCCACGCUGCCUCCAUGGCCAGUGGCCGGAGUCGCGCGAAACGGGCUUUUCAGCCCUCACUUCACGGCGUCCCUGAAGGCUAGGCCUUCUCAACAGUGGGACCGAGAGAAAAAGAAAAAAAACCCCUCUAUCUGUUCGACUCCGGUGACGGAAAAGAUGGGCUCCGGUGCCGACUUUCGAAGCAAAUAGGUAUCUUCCCUUUUCCCUUUUUGUUUCAUUUUUGUUAAAAAGGGUCAUAAAAAUAAACAAACAUAAAAAAUAACGAAAAAAAUACAAGAACAGAAAAAAAUAGAAGCAGUUAAACUGGAGUCAACCUUUCUUAAAAGCUUUUGCUCUGUUUUUUCAGUAACCAGUCAUAAAAAGAAGAAGAAGAAGAAAAUACAGAAGUGGUGCUCGGCUUUUAUAGCCGAUUUGUUUCCAUUUUUUUCUAUUAUUUUGCUGCUUGCAUGUUUAUUUUUCUCCUGUAGGUGAUUGAUAAGUGUCGGUCGAUAUGACAGCGACGGUGACAGACGCGCAGCGGUGGUGGUUGGUAGGUCAAGGGUCAAAAGACCCUAGGUGCGGUGCACCUAGGGCUAGGGUUUUCAAACUCCCCCCUUUUUUUGCAUUGGACCAGUUGAGCUAUGUUGGAUUUGGUUGGGUUAGGGGUAUUGGGCUAAGCCUUUUGGUUUGGGCCCUAGGUUGUAAUUGGGUUUUGGGUAGAUGUAGGUAAUUGGUUUUAUUUGGGUACUGGGUUGGGCAAAAUGGGCUGUACAGCUGCCCCUCUUUGCUCGUUGUCGUGUAACGAGAACAGAGCAAAGACUAAGAAAGACCAAUUUUGCCCGGUCUCACCAAGUCCCAACUUAUUUUGACACUUCUCUUCUUCAAGUAGCCUUAUUCCAGUCCACUGUGUCCUAUCGCUUCAAUCUACUCCACUGCACUUCUUGUAGCUUCAAUCUUCUUCGCAGCAACUUCAGGAGGACGAGGUUUUGGUUUUAGUCUGCUCCACUACUCCACUGCGACCUCAGGGAGAUAAGGUUUGAUAUGAUAAAAUUUAAUCCUACCCUCUGCAACUUCAAAGGUAUAAGAUUCAUCGUUUUAAUCUGCUCCACUGCAACUUCAGGGAGAUAGGAUUAGUAGCUUCAGUCUGUUCCACUACAACUUCAGGGAACUAAGACUUGUAUUUUCAACCUGCCCCAGAGCAAUUUUAGGGGGGAAGGUUUGUGGCUUUAAUCUGUUCUACUACAACUUCAGGGAGAUAAGAUUUGUAGCCGGUCUUCAAUUUGUUCCACUGUAACUUCAGGGAGAUAAGGUUUGAUAUGAUCUGCUCUACUGCAACUUCAGAGAGAUAGGAUUUAUAACUUAUAGCUUUAAUCUGUUCCACCGCAACUUUAGGGAAAUAAGAUUCGCUAUCUUCAGUCUGCUCCAUUGCAACUUCAGGGAGAUGAGAUUUGUAGUUUCACUGAUCUGUUCUCUGGGGAAGCAUAACCUAUGAACUUUUGUUUAUGCCUAAAUGAUUAGGAUGUCAUGAUCAAAAUGAAUCAAAUGCUCCUAAUUAGAUGCAUUUAAAUCAGAUGCAUUCUGACACACAUGAUGAGUCGCCCUUAAAUCUGGAUACUAUGAUGAGGUUCCUAUUGGCACAGAAACAUAAGAGUUAGUAUAUAUUAUCAAAGUUGGAAUCAUAUUGUAUGGCAUCCGAAAAAUCAGAAGCAUGAAAAUCAAGAAUUCGGGGUAGCCCAACACACUAAGAGAAAUCAAAAUAAAAAUACAUACUCGUGGUUUUGUUCACUACGGAACAGGAGCAUUAUUUCGCAUAGAGCCUUCAACACCAACAAAAUUAGCAUUAGGCCCAAGUUUUUGACUAGCAUCAACCUGUCCACUAUUCGGCCCAGUAAUCUGCCUACUAAAAGGCCCAACAGAUUGGCCUACAUGUAGCCCAAAUUGCUACACAUCAUGCUCCCGCUAAUAGGACUAAACACUGACUAUCAGUUACCCAAAAUAAUGCCCAGUAUUUUGCCCAAAAACCUGACUAGUCUUCUACCCAUGAACCGACCUAAAAACCUGACCAGCAUUUGGUCCAAGACACUGCCCACGAAUCUGGCCUGCAUAAUGGGGCCUGUGUGCAAUGGAAGAAGGUAGCCCAAUGUGCUGUAUAGAACACUAGCCUACAGCAUGCCCAACACGCCUUUCAAAGAAAUCAAACGGGCCAACAGAUCCAAACCACUGACCAUUUGUGUCUCUUGCAAACUCAACCUUAUAGCCAGUUUCACCAAAAUCCAUAGCUUGCAGUUGCGGUGGAUAUUCACUCCGACUCUGAGAAGACGACCAGUCUCCCAAAAGGUCACCAGAUCCAAAACCUUGUUGUCUAUUAUGCGCAGACGGUGAAAACCUCACCGUGGUAGAAGCACUCAGACCAUCGUAAGACCAAUUAAAGCGAUAGAAGCAUCACUGCACCGUGUGACCGAACCUAUUACAAAUUUGGCACUGCAUGCGCGAACGGAAGCCACACCCUUGCAAACCUACUGUCGCACGACCUCCACUCACAUCACGUAAAACAGAAUCGACGAUUGCAGCAACAUCAGGCGAUUCAACAAGAUGAGCAUGGAUGGGAACCUCACGCGCCACUCGCACCUGUCUACUUUCAAAUUCCAUGAGAACCUCGACCAAACGCAGACAGGGAAAAGGCUACGUCGAGAACAAAGCCAAGGUCAGUAUGAUAUCAAAAUUCGAUGAGAGCCCAGCCAAAAUGACUUCCACCUUUUUAGCUUCUGACACCACCGAUCCAGAGGCUGCAAGUAAGGCACAGGUAUUUUCUAUCUUCGCAAUAUAUUCUGUGACAGUUUACUCACUCUUCUGUGUAGAAUGAAGAUCAUGCUUGAUGCGAGAAAUUUUCACACUAGUUAACGCAGCGAAAAGACGAUUUGCGGUGCUCUAGAUGUCACACGCAGAUUGAGCAGAGGUAAAACAUGGCAAAAGUGACGAGCUAAUCGUACUUAGGAGCCAAGAAGCUAACAGCUUAUCUUGUUGAUUGAACAUAGCCGCUUCUGGAUUCGGAAUAAGAGCACCUUCUGGAGACGCAAUAAACCGAGACGGAACAGACAGCGUACCUUCCAAGAAACCUUGCAGCUCAUAUCCCUCUAUUAUUAAUCGGAAAUGUUGCUGCCAUUGAACAAAGUUUUCUCCCUCUAGUUUCACCGUGUCAUGACGGGGGAAAGAUUGGACCAGGCGUUGACUAGAAAAUGCCGGACUCAUAGGAUCAGCAAAAUUAGAAUCGGCUGAUGGUGCCAUAACACAACAACGGAAGCACGUACUAGGACUAGGCGACUGAUACCAUGUAAGAUACUACUCGAAAUAUGUAUAAACAGAAAAAUGAAGUAUAGAAGAAUUCUUUAGUCUUAUGCUAUCUAGUUGAAUGAAUACACUGAUGAGGUUUUAUACAAAUAUGAUAACCAACUGCCUAAUGAACUGCUUAACAAAUUUUGUAACAACCUAUCAAACUAACCAUCGUAACAACUGUUUAACACUCACGCACAAAAGAUUUUCUAAUUGAAUAUUAGUGCAUACUUUAUAUUCAUAUUUGAAUAAAUAUUAAAAAUAAAUGUCUAAACAUAAAUAUUUUAUAAAAAAAAUAAACUGAGGAGUUGGAAUAAUAUUAUUUGUAUUUCAAGUAGUGAAAUUUAAAUGAUACUUUAUUAGAAGGGAUUAAAUCUAUUUAAGUAGCUUUAAAGAUUUAUAUUUAAUCUUUCAAAUAUAUAAAAACAGUUUUGACUAAUUAAAUUGAACACAUAAAUUGGUCUCCAAUAAAAAUAAAAUGAUUUUUAACUCAGUUGAAAUUAUGAUCAAUCCUUAUUAAAGGACUCUCAUUUUAUCAUUACUUGCUUCGCCUCCAUUUUUGUCUCACAAUUUUGUUUUAAUUUGCUUCAUCUUCAACCUACAAAUAAAAUAUAGAUGUAAGUGAAAAUAUAUAGUGGAAAUAAAAUUUUAAUAAAAAAAAAGGUGAAACCAAUCAAAAUAUACACAUUCGAUAAGUGACUAAAAUUUUAAAUGGUAUAAAAAACAAUGUUAUCAACAUUUGAGAUAUGUAGAUGUUGAAUAUGAAUAUGAAUAAAAUUUUUUAAAAUGUUUUGGCAUAUAAUGGAAGGAUCAUAUCUCAUAUGCAAAACAAGUCUAGAAUAAUUGUUUAAAUGGAAUACAAGAUGUGUAAAAAUACAAUUAAUAGGACGAAGUUUGUUAAGUAGUUUACCACAGUUAAUGCUUCUUUCUUGAUUGGCCCUUUACAAAAUUGAAAAAUUUUUGCAUCCGUUUUGGUUGCGGCUCUUCUUCCUCUGUUUCCUCAUAGAUAUUACGUUUUCGUUUUAUGUGAGAAGUGCUACCUACUGAUCCAUGGUUGUGAGCAGAGUGUUGGUGGAUGUGUUCAAAAUUUGGAGAAGAUUGGCUGGUAUCGCACUACAACUCUUUCAUUUCUUCCAAAUCUUUCUCAUACACUAUUCUAACACCACACUUCUUCACCUUAACACAACGGUCAUUUGGUCCAAAUUCGGUAUUGAAACACAACUCAAGCUCAUCGCCUAUUUCAGCUAGCAAUCUGCUGUCCAUAAAUUAUUGGUUUCACAGUCACCAUAUUUAUCCUCCAAGGAAAUUGGAUAUGAUUCAUCACGCGGAAAAUAACGAAGAAAAAGGUGAUCUUUCAUUAUGGGCCUGUCAAAGUAUCGACCUACCCACUGGUUUCUCCAAUAAAUUGGUCGACAAUUUCUACCUCGAAAAAUAGAUCCUUUACAUCCGAUAUACCUAUCCCUUGAAGCAUCAUUAUUGACAAAAAUGCAGCAACAAGCAACUCCAAUCCAUUGACUAUCUUUCCGAAGGUUGAUAGGUAGGGGUAUCUUAAUUGAAGAGUCACGUUUUUGUUGGCUAAACCAUUCUGGAAUUUCACUUCCUGGCAUCAAAAUAUCAAAGAUGCCAUCAUUAAACCAUUUUCUAGAAUUUGGAAAUGCCUGCAAAAUAAAACACAAGUCGUUUGGUAACUAAAACCAUAAAUUCUCAAGUAUGAGAUUUUGUAAGGGAGAAAAAAUACAUUAAUAAACCUUAAUAUGUGCUUUCAGCAGUGCUACUGCAUUGAUUUUCUCAGCCAAUUUGAAGCAGUUAAUGGCAUCAAUGCUUUCACUUCCCACUAAAUUGCAUACUUUUGAUGGACUUGCAACUACUUCAAGUGAAGAACAAUCAUCUAUUGUCACACUUCCUAUAGUUGUUGGUAGCUCAGGCAACGAUUUAAGCAUCUUGCAACCUGACAAUUGAAGCAAGUUGAGCCCGGAAAGUUGAGUAAGAGCCAAAGGAAUGCUGGUGAAAUUGUUACCAAUAAGAUUAAGAUAACUCAAAGAGGAUAGACCAGAAAUAUCACUAUGAGUAUCUGCUUCACCAAGAGUGCACAUGUUGCAAUUAGACAAUUCAAGAUACGUAAGCUUUGAGAGUCGAGUAAGAGAUGCAGGUAUGCGGAUGAAAUUCUUACCACUAAGAUUAAGAUAACUCAAAGAGGAUAGACCAGAAAUAUCACUAUGAGUAUCUGCUUCACCAAAAGUGCACAUGUUGCAAUUUGACAUUAAUAUAAGAUUUGCAAGCUUCGAGAGUCGAGUAAGAGAUGCAGGUAUGCUGAUGAAAUUAUUACCACUAAGAUCAAGAGAUACCAAAGAGGAUAGACCAGAAAUAUCAGGUGGAAUAUCUCCUUCACAGAGAUUGCAGUCCCUUAGAUUCAACUCUCUUAAUGAACUCAAACCUGACAACAAAGGCAACAUCCGAGCCAUGGGAUUCGUCCUUCUUCCUUGGAUUACCUUGAAAAGAGAAGGCAAAUUUGGUAGUAACUUAUAUGAUGGUCCCUUGCGCCCAUUGAAAGACAGAACUUUCAGAUUUUUAAAGUGAAAAAUGAAGGAUGGUGGUUCUGUUAUGGCUGUUUCACUCAAGUCGAGCUCUUCCAAAAACUUUGCUUGCUGCAAAUUCUCCGAUAAAUUUUCCACUCUAUAACAACCGGAAAGAUAUAGAGUUUUUAGACGUUCCAUUUUCCCAUCAAUCUCCGGAAACCUUACAAGACUUGAGCAGCCCGAAAGAAUUAAUGUUUCAAGAGAUUCCAUUCCAAUUUUGGUUGGAAGAGUCCUAAGACUUUUGCAAUCUCUUAAAUUAAAAAGUUUAAGGCUCUUAAGCACCCCGAUUGAUGGAUGAACAUCCACUAAUUUGGUACAACCUUCCAAAAUCAAAACUUCAAGAUUUGAUGCUGUUGUGAAGUCUGGUGUCUUGAUCAGGUUUUGAGACCCUCUGAGGUUCAUUAUUUUCAAGUUAAACAAGGGCUGUUGAAGACCAUAAUCAAUUAGAAACACAUGAGAAAACAUAAUAAUGCUCAUUUUUGUUUUUUUUGUUUUACCUUAAUCAAAGUUUAAUAAUUUAUAUUAAAAUAAGCUAAAACACAAGGAUAAGAUGAGUUAAUUCUUACUCUAUUUCCCUUCCAUAGUUGUUGAAUGUGACUAUAUGGUAAAAGAAGUGCGACAAGAUUGUCCGGUUGAAAGCUUGAAGGUAAGUUUUUUAGAGGGUAUCCUGUCCAAUCUAAAAGCCGUAGUUCAUUAGAAAGAUAUUUGAGAUCAUCACAAUUUGAAAGGCAAAGCACUUUCAGUAGUCUCAGUUUUUUCAUCUUCAAGAAGGCAUCCACACUCAAAUUGAGCAUCUUUUUCAAUUCCCUAAUAUCCAUGAGCGAAACAAAAAUGAGCUUCAAAAUAUAUAAAAACAUUCAAUAUCUAAAAGAAAUGUUGCAUCAAUAUUGUUUUUUAAGUACUCGUAUCCAAUACUUGUUCGUAUAUGAGUAUAAAGAUAUGAUCCUUUAAGAACCUUUCAAAUACGUGAAAAAAAUAAAUUUUAAUUUUUUUUUUGAAUAUAGCCAUAUUAAAGAGAUACUUAUAUCUAACAAUCGCAUCCGAUGUUAAAUUACCUAAUCAUAAAAAAAUGAAUUAAUAUGUUGAUUUAUAUUUAGUCCGCAAACAAUGCAUAAUUUACAAGUUAAUGAACCAAACAAUGACACAUAAUUAAAAAUGAAACCAUUUUCAUUAAAAAAAAAUUAUUACAUGUUAUAAUCUAAUUCGUUGAUAUACACUUUUAGUACAUUAAAUAUAUACCAUUAAUUUUCACAAAAAAAUAUACCAUUAAUAUUUCAAAAAUACAUACAUUUCUCUUUUGAUUCUUUUGAAAAAGUAAAUAUGUUGCUAGAUAAAUUUCAUAAUUAAACAUUGAAAUAUUGAAUGUCAAAAGUUUUGCUAUAGUUUUUUUAUCAUAUUUAAAAAUAAUAAUUAUUUACAGUACACAUAGAUAUAAGUUUAUGUGUGUCUUCCUACCUUUUAUUAUCGAUGAUUAUGCCUUCAAUCGUUUCUGUAGCCUAAAAAAGAUUAAGAACAGACAAUAAGAAAAUAAAAUAAAUGGUGAAUAAUGUAGGAUAGAAAAGAAAUAGUAUGUGACUUUUGUUGAAUGACUUACAGUGUUUUUUGUUAGGACAUGAUGGACGUCCCCUCCCUCCCACAAUCUGCAACGUUUUCCAGGUUCAUCAACACAUUUUUCUUUAACAAUUGUUCUUCCCAUUUCUUGCAACAAGCUAUGCAUCCACAAAUAUUGGUUGCCAUCAUCGACUUUUAUUAAAGAUUUCUUAAUGAGAACAUCAAUUCCAAUAUCGGGGAAAAGCUCACAACUAUCUAAUACUUUCAUUACAAAAUCUUUCUUCUCCCCAUUAAAGAAGCACGCUAUAUCUAAAAAUAUAUUCUUCUCCCUUUCUUCCAGUCCAUCAAAACUGAUUCGAAGUUUAUCGAGAAUUUCUUUAUUAGAAUCUCUUUUAAGUCUUUCAAUCGCACUCCUCCAUUGAGUCGCAUCCCUACCGCACAAAAAGGAACCAAAAACUUCAAGAGCUAAAGGGAGUUCACCAGCAUAAUUUACAACAUGUUUAGAAAGCUCAAUGAAAUCAUCUUUCUGCACUGUAUCACUAUGAAAAGCUUUCAGACUGAAAAGUUGAAGCGCAUCUUUGGGAUUCAGUGUUGUGGCCGUAUACACAUCAUUAACUUGGCAACAUCGAAGCAAAUGUUCGUCUCUUGUUGUUACAAUGAUUCUACUCCCUAAUCCGAACCAAUCAUGCCUUCCAACCAUGCAUUUUAGGUGUUGUAUGUUAUCAACAUUAUCAAGAACAACAAGAACCUUUUUGUGAGACAACCUAUGGCUAAUUAUUUUAUUUCCUUCAUGAACAUUGAAAAAGUUGAAGCAUUCACCAUGAAAGAUUUGUGAAAGAAGUUGUUUCUGUAAAGAAACUAGUCCGCAUUUGUCUGAAACUUCUCGAAUAUCAGCAAUAAAGCUUUUACCUUCAAAAUGAGGUGACAUUUGAGUGUAAGCAACUCUUGCGAGUGUCGUUUUACCGAUGCCACCCAUUCCGCAAAUUCCUAUAACGCGGACAUCAUCUUCCCCAAUGUUUAUUUUCAAAUACAAAUCCUCCAAGCGUUCACUAAUACCAACCAAGUCGCUAUGAGUAAUUGGAUAUGUCUGACAUAGUUUUGCCGAUAUCUUCUUAACAAUGUCUCUAAUAAAUUCUGAUUCAUGCCUAAAAAAAAAAAAAGAAAAUUUAAUGUUUUGAGUAAAAUUUUGUUGAUAUGUUUCGAAUGCACUUUCUUUUUCAAUGAAUCAUGAAACAUAAUAUAGUUUGGAAGCAAACAAGUACCAAGAAAAAGAAAGCAAGAUCAGUUGCGGAGCCAGAAGACAAAAUUUGCUCUUUUAUUGAAAUAUGACACUUUUCAAUUAAACACAUUGGAUUAGGGGAAAAAAAAAGUUAUACAUACAUACAUAUAUAUAUAUAUCCAAAAAACUAGAAAAUAGAGAAGAAAAGAAAGAAUUACCUGUUAUUUAAAUGCCAUCCCUUGACUGCAGCCACUUGAAUUAAAGCAUUUCGCCACCUUUGGAUCUUCUCACUUUCUUCUUUGUAUCUCUCUUCAUGUCUGGCAAAGGCUUCUUCCACUUUCCCUUUUUGUUUUCUUAAAUCAGAUGGAUCAACAUCGUAAAAAAUUGGAAACAUUUUAUGGCCGUCGUUGUUAUGUUGUUUAACAAUCUCAGCAAGCUCCUCCAAGCACCAACUUGAAAAGGCAUAAGUUUGUGAAAAAACGAUUACCGAGCACCAUGAUUGCUGAAUUGCUUUAAAGAGUUCUGGCGCGAUCUCUUCACCGGCCUCCAGCUUUGGAUCAUCCCUGAAAGUGACGAUCCCACUCCUCUUUAGAGCAGCAUAGAGAUGAUCGGUGAAGUUUUUGCGAGUAUCUUCACCUCUAAAACUCAAGAAAACAUCAUAUAUCUUUUUAGAAAUGGAGGAAGAAGUUGAAGGGAACGACAACAUGAGGAUGUAUGAAAGGAGAAGGAUAUCUCAAUCUGGUGUUCAAAAUCAGAAAAUAGAUUGCCCAAUAUCCACAAAGAAACUAGAAAAAGUAAGUAUAUGAGCAUAGGGGUCAAAGAUGAGCGAUGGAUGUUGUUUCCAAGAAGGUGAUAGUUGGCAAAGUGGAGUCUACUUUAAUUACAAGUAAUAAUUAAAAAUGUUGGACGGUUUGUAUUUUACGUAUUUAAUAAUUAGCAAUGUUAAUGGAUUGAUGUUCUCAGCCAAUCUGUAGCAGUCAGUGGCUCUAAGGCAAUCAAUGCCGGUUGGGCAGGCCAAACACGCUAAAUUUAAGAUUUUUAGAUUGAAAAGUGAAGUAUGGUGGCUCUGUUAUGGCUGUUUCACUUAAAUCGAGUUCUUCUAAAAACUUCGCUUGCUGCAAAUUCUCUGGUAAAUUUUCAACUCUAUAAUAACCAGAAAGAUUAAGAGUUUUUAAACAUUUUAUUUUUCCCAUCGAUAUCUGGAAACCUUUGAAGAUUUGAGCAACACGAAAGAAUCAAUGUCUCAAGGGAUUUCACUUCAAUUCUGGUUGGAAGACUCCCAAGACUUUUGCGGUCUUUGAAAUUCAAAAGUUUAAGCCUCUUAAGCACUCCAAAUGAUGGAUGGACAUCUACAAUUUUAAAGUCUAGGGUAUUGAUCAGGUUUUGGGACCCUUUAAAGUUGAUCACUUUCAACUAAUAUAUGGGCUGUUGAAAACCAUACUUAAAAAGCAAUAAAAAAACAUAAAACCAAACCUCAAUUUUGUUUUUAUAUUCUUAUCAUUGUUGACACCAUUUUUUUUUUGAUAAAAUGGGGUCGAUUCGGGUUUUAAAAAAUGAAAACGAAUGUGGGAGUCACCACUAAUCUUUUUUGAUGAGGUGUGAUCGGGCCACCUCGAAAAAUAGUUAUUUUAAUAAACGAUUUGAAAAAAUAAUGAUUUUGGUCCACGAUAAAAAAAAGAAAAUGGAUUCGGGAAUCGGUUACGUACGAUGAGGGAUUAGCACAUUCGUAACGCCCAAAAUUGGUAUUUAGCUGAUUAAUUAGUGUCUUAACGUUGAAAAUUGAAAAUUUUGAAGAGUUAAAAAAAAAAAGAAAAAUAAUACGAUCCUUUAUCAAAAUUUUGAAAAAUUUAAAAGGAGAAGCAUAUUUCCAAGUUAAUCGAGACGAAGAAUUACGUCCAGUAAGUUAGGACACAAUGUCUAAAAUUCCCGAUACGAGAAUGAAAGCCGAAAAAUUUAUUUAUUUUGAAAGAGUUCGAUUAUCUCGGGUUUAAAAAAGAGAUCAUGUCCCGUGAUUUAGAACACGAUCUUUUAUUAAUUCCUGAGAACAUUUAAAAACUUUGUUUGAAAUGAUUCGUGUGUUUGAAUUUUUCGAGAAAGUCGAAACCCCGUAAGUUAAGGUACGACUUUCUUGAGUUUCUAAAUACAGAAUGUUGUCUUAUUUUGAAAAUUUUCCUUUUUUGAAUUUAAGUAAGAAUUAAUGUAGUAUAACAAGAUGUAAGUUUAAUUUAUGCAAAUAUUGUGUGAAGGCAAACAAUUAUUUCAUACAAUGUAUAGUACAAUAAUAAUGAAAUAACAUAAAAUAACUAUAUUAGUAGAAUAUUUAAAGGGUAAAUAAUAAAUCAUAAAAUACAAUAAUAAUCAUGACGUAAUUAUAAUAAUAAUCCCCAAAUAAUAAUAACAAUGACCAUAUUAAUUACUAUUCUAAUACUAGAAAUAUAAAAAUGAAUUAAACACUAAUAAAAAUGAUAAUAAUAAUAAUAAUGAUAAUAAUAAUGAAAUGUAUAAAUAAAGGAAUAAAUAACAAUAUAAAUUCUAAACACAAGAAAAGUAAGGAAAUGGACAAAUACAUGAAUGCAUAAAUAAAUAAAUAAAACAGAACGAAAAGAAUAAAUAAAUAAAUAAAGCUCGAAAUUAAAAGGAUAAAGGAUCAAAUUGAGGUUAAAAUAAAAUUUGGAGUCUAAAUUAUAAUAAAAUGGAUAAAUAAAUAUAAAAGGGACUGGAUCGAAAUUUGAAUCAACUUUAAAGGUAUAAAUUACAAAUAAAAAACGAAAGGGCCAACUGAAAUGCGCUGGAAAAGGGCGAGGACUAUGUGGGAGAUUAUUCCCAGUCCUUUAGAGUGCACCGUUUCCGUUUGGACCGAAAAGAAACAAAAAUGAAAUUAUACCGCAAAAUGUAAAGAAAAAAAAUUUAGGACUAAAUUGCAAAGCCACACAAAAGUAGAAGGACCACAUGCGCAAAUAGCCCCUUCACAGUAGAAACACGCAGAUCCUAAGGGCCAACAGGUCGGGUCACGUGUCAAGGCCAAAACGACGUCGUUUUGGCACUUAACCCCUAAUGUCAAAACGACGCUGUAUAAGUAUCAUUAUUUAACUUAAUUUUUUUUCUAAAAAAAUCAUUUUUACAAAGUUUUUUAAAAAAAAAAUUCAAAACUUCCUUCUCUCUCUCUCUCACAAUGUUCGGCCCUUAGGUUCUAGCCUCUGCCGCGCUGUCUCCAUGGCCAGUGGUCGGAGUCGCGCGAAACGAGCUUUUCAGCCCUUACUUCACGGCGUCCUUGAAGGCUAGGCCUUCUCAACAGUGGGACCGAGAGAAAAAGAAAAAAAAACCCUUUCCCUGUUCGACUCCGGUGACGGUGAAGAUGGGCUCCGGCACCGGCUUUCGAAGCAAACAGGUAUCUUCCCUUUUCCCAUUUUGUUUCGUUUUUGUUAAAAAGGGUCGUAAAAAUAAACAAACAUAAAAAAUAAUAAAAAAUAAAGAAAAAAUACAAGAACAGAAAAAAAUAGAAGCAGUUAAACUGGAGUCAACCUUUUUUAAAAGCUUUUGCUCUGCUUUUUCAUUAACCAGUCGUAAAAAAAAUGUAUAUAUAUAGAAGUGGUGCUCGAAUUUUAUGGCCGAUUUGUUUCCAUUUUUUCUAUUAUUUUGCUACUUGUGUGUUUAUUUUUCUCCUGUAGGUGAUUGAUAGGCGCCGGUCCACAUGAUAGCGGCGGUGACAGACGCGCGGCGGUGGCGGUUGGUAGGUCAAGGGUUAGAAGACCCUAGGUACGGCGCACCUAGGGUUAGGGUUUUUAGACUCCCCCCUUUUUUUUUGCAUUGGGUCAUUUGGGUUGUGUUGGAUUUGGUUGGGUUAGGGGUAUUGGGCUGAGUCUUUUGGUUUGGGCCCCAGGUUGUAAUUGGGUUUUGGGUAGAUGUGGGUAAUUUGGUUUAUUUGGGUACUGGGCCAGGCAAAAUAGGCUGUACAGCUACCCCUCUUUGCUCGUUGUCGUGUAACGAGAAUAGAGCAAAGACUAAGGAAGACCAAUUUUGCCUGGUCUCACCAAGUCCCGACUUCUUUUGACACUUCUCUUCUUCAAGUAGCCUUAUUCCAGUCCACUGUGUCCUAUCGCUUCAAUCCACUCCACUGCACUUCUUGUAGCUUCAAUCUUCUUCGCAGCAACUUUAAGAGGAUGAGGUUUUGGCUUUAGUCUGCUCCACUACUCCACUGUGACCUCAGGGAGAUAAGGUUUGAUAUGAUAAAAUUUAAUCCGACCCUCUACAACUUCAAAGGUAUAGGAUUCAUCGUUUUAAUCCGCUCCACUGCAACUUCGGGGAGAUAGGAUUAGUAGCUUCAGUCUGCUCCACUGCAACUUUAGGGAAGUAAGGCUUGUAUUUUCAACCUGCCCCACGGCAAUUUCAGGGGGGAAUGUUUGUGGCUUUAAUCUGCUCUACUGCAACUUCAGGGAGAUAAGGUUUGAUAUGAUCUGCUCUACUGCAACUUCAGAGAGAUAGGAUCUGUAACUUAUAGCUUCAAUCUGUUCCACCGCAACUUCAGGGAAAUAAGAUUCACUAUCUUCAGUCUGCUCCACUACAACUUCAGGGAGAUGAGAUUUGUAGUUUCACUGAUCUAUUCUCUAGGGACGCAUAACCUAUGAACUCUUGUUUAUGCCUAAAUGAUUAGGAUGUCAUUAUCAAAAUGAAUCAAAUGCUCCUAAUUAGAUGCAUUUAAAUCAGAUGCAUUCUGACACACAUGAUGAGUUGCCCUUGAAUCUGGAUACUAUGAUAAGGUUCCUAUUGGCCAGGAACACACGAGUUAGUAUAUAUUAUCAAAGUUGGAAUCAUAUUGUGUGGCAUCCGAAAAAUCAGAAGCAUGAAAAUCAAGAAUUCGGGGUAGCCCAACACUCUAAGAGAAAUCAAAAUAAAAAACACGUACUCGUGUUUUGUUCGCUACGGAACAGGAGCAUUAUUUUGCAUAGAGCCUUCAACACCAACAAAAUUAGCAUUAGGCCCAAGUUUUUGAAUAGCAUCAACCUGUCCACUAUUCAGCCCAUUAAUCUGCCUACUAAGAGGCCCAACAGACUGGCCUGCAUGCAGCCCAAAUUGCUGCACAUCAUGCUUCCGCUAAUAGGACUAAAACACUGACUAUUAGUUGACCCAAAAUAAUGCCCAGUAUUCUGCCCAAAAACCUGACUAGUCUUCUACCCAUGAACCGACCUAAAAACCUGACCAGCAUUUGGUCCAAGACACUGCCCACGAAUCUAGCCUGCAUAAUGGGGCCUGUGUGCAACCGAGGAAGGCAGCCCAAUGUGUUGUACAGAGCACUGGCCCACAGCAUGCCCAACACGCCUUUCAAAGAAAUCAAACGGGCCAACAGAUCCAAACCACUGUCCAUUUGUGUCUUCUGCAAACUCAACCAAUAGCCAGUUUCACCAAAAUUCGUAGCUUGCAGUUGUGGUGGAUAUUCACUCCGACUCUGAAAAGACGACCAGUCUGCCAAAAGGUCACCAGAUCCAAAACCUUGUUGUCUAUUAUGCGCAGACGGUGAAAACCUCACCGUGGUAAAAGCGUUCAGACUAUCGUAAGACCAAUUAAAGCGAUAGAAGCAUCGCUGCACCAUGUGAUCGAACCUAUUACAGAUUUGGCACUGCACGAGCGAACAGAAGCCAUGCCCUUGCAAACCUACUGUCGCACGGCCUCCACGCACAUCACGUGAAACAGAAUCAACGAUCGCAGCAACAUUAGGUGUUUCAACAGGAUGAGCAUGGAUGGGAACCUCACGCGCCACUUGCACCUGUCUACUUUCAAAUUCCAUGAGAACCUCGACCAAACGCAGAAAGGGAAGAGGCUCCGUCGAGAACAAAGCCAAGGUUAGUACGAUAUCAAAAUCCGAUGAGAGCCCAGCCAAAAUGACUUCCACCAUUUUAGCUUCUGACACCACCGAUCCAGAGGCUGUAAGUAAGGCACAAGUAUUUUCUAUCUCCGCAAUAUAUUCUGUGACAGUUAACUCACCCUUCUUUGUAGAAUGAAGAUCAUGCUUGAUGCGAGAAAUUUUCACACUAGUUGACGCAGCAAAAAGACGAUUUGCGGUGCUCUAGAUGUCACACGCAGAUUGAGUAGAGGUAAAACAUGACAAAAGUGACGAACUAAUCGUACUUAGGAGCCAAGAAGCUAAUAGCUUAUCCUGUUGAUUGAACGUAGCCACUUCUGGAUUCGGAAUAAGAGCACCUUCUGGAGACGCAAUAAAUCGAGACGGAGCAGACAGCGUACCUUCCAAGAAACCUUGCAGCUCAUAUCCCUCUAUUAUCAAUCGGAUAUGUUGCUGCCAUUGAACAAAGUUUUCUCCCUCUAGUUUCACCGUGUCAUGACGGGGGAAAGAUUGGACCAGGCGUUGACCAGAAAACGUCGGACUCAUAGGAUCAGCAAAGUUACAAUCGACUGAUGGUGCCAUAACACAACAACGGAAGCACGUACCAGGACUAGGCGACUGAUACCAUAUAAGAUACUACUCGAAAUAUGUAUAAACAGAAAAAUGAAGUAUAGAAGAAUUCUUUAGUCUUAUGCUAUCUUGUUGAAUGAAUACACUGAUGAGGUUUUAUACAAAUAUGAUAACCAACUGCCUAAUGAACUGCUUAACAGAUUUUGUAACAACCUAUCAAACUAACCAUCGUAACAACUGUUUAACACUCACGCACAAAAGAUUUUCUAAUUGAAUAUUAGUGCAUACUUUAUAUUCAUAUUUGAAUAAAUAUUAAAAAUAAAUGUCUAAAGAUAAAUAUUUUAUAAAAAAAAUAUAAACUGAGGAGUUGGAAUAAUAUUAUUUGUAUUUCAAGUCGUGAAAUAUAAAUGAUACUUUAUUAGAAUGGAUUAAAUCUAUUUAAGUAGCUUUAAAGAUUUAUAUUUAAUCUUUCGAAUUUAUAAAAAAACAGUUUUGACUGAUUAAAUUGAACACUUAAAUUGGUCUCCAAUAAAAAUAAAAUGAUUUUUAACUCAGUUGAAAUUAUGGUCAAUCCUUAUUAAAGGACUCUCAUUUUAUCAUUACUUGCUUCGUCUUUAUUUUUGUCUCACAAUUUUGUUUUAAUUUGCUUCAUCUUCAACUUACAAAUAAAAUAUAGAUGUAAGUGAAUAUAUAUAGUGGAAAUAAAAUUUUAAUAAAAAAAGGUGAAACUAAUCAAAAUAUACACAUUCGAUAAGUGACUAAAACUUUAAAUGGUAUAAAAAAUAAUGUUAUCAACAUUUGAGAUAUGUAGAUGUUGAAUAUGAAUAUGAAUAAAAUUUUUUAAAAUGUUUUGGCAUAUAAUGGAAGGAUCAUAUCUCAUAUGCAAAACAAGUCUAGAAUAAUUGUUUAAAUGGAAUACAAGAUGUGUAAAAAUACAAUUAAUAGGACGAAGUUGGUUAAGUAGUUUACCACAGUUAAUGCUUCUUUCUUGAUUGGCCCUUUACAAAAUUGAAAAAAUUUUGCAUCCGCUUUGGUUGCGGCUCUUCUUCCUCUGUUUCCUCAUAGAUAUUACGUUUCCGUUUUAUGUGAGAAGUGCUACCUACUGAUCCAUGGUUGUGAGCAGAGUGUUGGUGGAUGUGUUCAAAUUUUGGAGAAGAUUGAGAGGUAUGACACUGCAACUCUUUCAUUUCUUCCAAAUCUUUCUCAUACACUAUUCUAACGCCACACUUCUUCACCUUAACACAACCAGAAUUUGGUCCAAAUUUGGUAUUGAAACACAACUCAAGCUCAUCGCAUAUUUGAUAUAAGCAGUCUGUUGUGCAUAAAUUAUUGGUUUCACAGUCACCAUAUUUAUCCUCCAAGGAAAUUGGAUAUAAUUCAUCACGCGGAAAAUAACGAAGAAAAAGGUGAUCUUUCAUUAUGGGAUUGUGAAAGGAUAGACCUAUCCACCGAUUUCUCAAACAAAUUAGUCGACAGUUUUUACCUCGAAAAAUAGAUCCUUUACAGCUGAUAAACUCAUUAUUCCAUGAAGCAUCAUUAUUGACAAAAAUGCAGCAACAAGCAACUUCAAUCUAUUGACUAUCUUUCCGAAGGUUGAUAGGUAGGGGUAUCUUAAUUGAAGAGUCACUUUUUUGUUGGCUAAACCAUUCUAGAAUUUCAAUUUUCGGGCAUCAUAAUAUCAAAGACGCCAUCAUUAUACAAUUUUCUAGAAUUUGGAAGUGCCUGCAAAAUAAAACACGAGUCGUCUGGUAACUAAAACCAUAAAUUCUCAAGUAUGAGAUUUUGUAAGGCAGAAAAAAAAAUAGAUUAAUAGACCUUAAUAUGUUCUUUCAGUAGUGCUACUGCAUUGAUUUUCUCAGCCAAUUUGAAGCAGUUAACAGCACGAAUGCUUUCACCACCCACUAAGUUGCAUACUUUUGAUGGACUUGCAACUACUUCAAGUGAAGAACAAUUAUCUAUUGUCACACUUCCUAUACUUGUUGGUAGCUCAGGCAACGAUUUAAGCAUCUUGCAACCUGACAAUUUAAGCAAUUUGAGCCUGGAAAGUUGUGAUGAAGUUGGUUCAGCAUGCAGCAAACUCGACAACAUGCAGGCCAUGAAGACCAAGACAUGCAAGAGCUGCUAAUGCAAGCUUAUUUUGUUUAUUUUGUAAUUUCUAGUCAAUGAAAUGUAAUCUUAGUUCAUUUCUAACUAAGUUAGAUUGUUGACUGAUGUAAUUAGCUUAUGUAUGAGCUGUAAACACAACUUUGUAUAGGUUUACAAGCUAAAAUUUCAAGUUUCCAUGUAAUUAGUAGGAGUAGGUGAUGUUUAGGUAAUUACUUGCUUUUUUUGACAAGCUUAGUGCUUGUUUUAUGUAUUGGCAUUAUGCCAUUAUUCAAUUAGAUGAAUGAAGUUCAGUUUGUUCAUCAUUAUUCCUCUUCAUUUUUCUUAGUUUUUCUUCCUUUCUUCUGCUCGAAUUCUCUUGUUUGCUCAGCAAGUCUCGAGACUUGGUCGACAAGUCUGUGCUGUGUCUGUUAGUUUCAGUUACAGCACCAACAAUUGGUAUCAGAGCCUAUUUUUUAAGGGACCUGUUAUACAAAUACAUGGCGUCAUCAAACUUUUCACCAGCUGCACCUCAAGUCUUCAAUGGAGAAGGCUAUCACAUAUGGGUGGUCAAAAUGAAGACCUACCUGCAGGCAUACGAUCUGUGGGAGGUGGUCAACUCAGAUGUUGAACCAGAACCACUUAGAGGCAAUCCAACAGUGGCUCAAAUCAGGCAGCAUGCUGAUGAGAGGACCAAGAGGCACAAAGCCAUGUCUUGCAUCCAGAACUCAGUGUCUGAUGUGAUUUUCACAAGGAUUAUGGCCUGUGAAUCACCAAAAUAGGCCUGGGACAAGUUGCAGGAAGAGUUUCAAGGGACAGAGAGGACAAGGCAGCAACAGUUGUUGAACUUGAGGAGAGAUUUCGAGAAUUUGAAGAUGAAGGAAGAAGAAACUGUCAAGCAAUAUUCUGACAGGAUUAUGGCUGUGGUUAACAGCAUCAGGCUCCUUGGAGAGCAGUUCAAUGAAGCUAGGAUAGUGGAGAAGGUUAUAGCAACUCUGCCUGAGAGGUAUGAGGCAAAAAUCUCAUAUCUCGAGGACUCAAGGGAUCUGUCCACCAUCUCCCUGACAGAGUUGAUCAAUGCUCUAUAUGCUCAAGAGCAGAGAAGAGCAAGCAGACUGGAGGAGCACCAAGAAAGUGCCUUUCAAGCAAGAACAAAUACUGCCUACAAAGGCAAGAAAGCCUGGAGAGACAAACCAAAGAAUGAUGCUGCAAGGAGAGAAGGUCAGACUUGCAAGCACUGCAGAAGGGUUGGUCAUCCAGAAGAAAAGUGCUAGUUUAAUCCAGAAGCUGUAUGUCAGCAUUGUAAGAAGAAGGGUCAUGUUGAGAGAGUCUGCAAGAGUAAGACCAAAUCGAGGCAGAAUCAGUUUCAACAGAUGAAAGCUGAGGCUCGAGUAGCUAAGGAGGACAGUGACCAAGAGGAGCAAGUCUUUGCUGUGUCAUGCUCAGCUGCUCAGGAAAGGUCCUCAUCUGGUUGGCUCCUAGACAGUGGAUGCACCAACCACAUGACACCUGAUGCUGCAAUCUUCAAGUCUUUAGACAGAAGCUGCAGAACUAAAGUCAAGAUAGGAAAUGGUCAUUUUAUUCAAGCUGAAGGCAAGGGUGAUGUGCUGAUAUGCACUCUUACAGGUACCAAAGUGAUUUCAAAUGUGCUGUUGGUGCCUGAAAUUGACAGAAACCUGCUCAGCAUAGCUCAGUUGCUGGAAAAAGGUUAUUCUGUUGUGUUUAAAGACCACCAGUGCCAAAUCAGUGAUCCAAGUGGAUCCAAACUGAUGGCAGUCCCUAUGGCUGAUAAGAGCUUUGUGGUUGACUAGACAAAGAAGUCAGACACUACCUACACAGCCACAUCAGAUGAAUCCAAGCCGUGGCAUCAAAGACUGGGAUAUGCCAACUUCAGAUUGAUGGCCCGAAUGGUCAGAGAGGAUCUGGCUGAAAAUUUCAUCAACUCAGUGGACCAUGAUGAUGUAUGUAAAGUAUGUCAACUAGGAAAGCAGGCCAGACUCCCAUUUCCCUCGAAUCAAGCCUAGAGAGCCUUGAAAAACUCCAACUGGUGCAUACUGAUGUGUGUGGCCCUAUGAAGACUGAGUCAUUAAGUGGAAACAUGUAUUUUAUACUGUUCAUUGAUGAUUUUUCAAGAUAUUGCUGGAUUUACUUCUUAAAACAAAAAUCAGAGGUGGCCUCAGUGUUUUGGAAGUUCAAGACUGCUUCUGAGACUGAAACAGGCUGCAAGCUGAAGACCAUAAGGUCUGAUAAUGGGACUGAGUACACCUCAGCUCAGUUCUAAGCCUUCUGUGAUAAGGCAGGCAUCAAACAUCAACUUACCAACACAUAUACACCUCAGCAGAAUGGUGUAAGUGAAAGGAAGAAUAGGAGUUUGAUGGAUAUGGCCAGGUGCUUGAUGAUUCCGAAGAAUCUGCCUAAAGCACUAUGGGCAGAAGCAGUUAACACUGCAACAUACAUUCAAAAUAGACUUCCAACCAAGGCUUUGGAUCAGCAGACUCCAUUCGAGGCCUGGUUUGGCUUCAAGCCAUCACUGGCUCAUCUGAAGGUCUUUGGAUGCAUCUGUUAUGCACAUGUACCUGCUGUUAAAAGGGACAAAUUGUCUGAAAGAGCUCAACCUGGUGUACUGGUGGGCUACAGCACUGUUAAGAAAGGAUAUAGGAUCUUGGAUCCUUCAACAAACAAGGUGUCAGUUAGCAGGGAUAUGGUAUUUGAUGAAAGGUCAUGUUGGAACUGGGAAAGACAUGAACCUGAAGAAGUUUCUGAAGAACUAGCAACAGACCAAGCUGAGCCAGACCAAAAUGUUCCAGAAAUGGACAUUGAUGAUGAACCAGUCAGAGGAACAAGGCCAUUGACUGAGAUUUAUGAAAGGGCUCAUGUAGCCAUAGCUGAACCAAGCAACUUUGAAGAGGCUGAAGCUCAGCAAGGGUGGAAGUAGGCAAUGGCUGAGGAGAUCAGCAUGAUUGAGAAGAACCAGACCUGGGAAUUGGUUGAAAGGCCAGUCAAAAGGAAGGUGAUUGGGGUGAAAUGGGUGUACAAAGUCAAGCACAAUGCUGAUGGAACCUUGAACAAACUGAAAGCAAGGCUAGUUGUCAAGGGGUUCAGUCAGAAGUAUGGCCUGGACUACCUGGAGACCUUUGCACCAGUGGCCAGGCUCGACACCAUCAGACUAGUGAUUGCCUUAGCAGCACAGCUCGAAUGGAAAAUCCAUCAACUUGAUGUGAAAUCAGCCUUUCUGAAUGGUUUCUUAGAUGAAGACAUCUAUGUUGAACAACCACAAGGGUUUGAAAUAGCUGGUAGAGAGCAUAUGGUCUACAAACUGAAGAAGGCCCUAUAUGGUUUAAAACAGGCUCCAAGGGCCUGGUAUAGCAGAAUCGAUGGCUACUUGACUGAUCUGGGAUUCGAUCGAAGCAAGAGUGAGCCAACACUGUAUGUCAAGAAACAAGGGACACAAACACAACUCAUUGUGUCCCUGUAUGUUGAUGACCUUCUGGUGACAGGAGGAGAUCGAGCAGUGCUGGUUGAUUUCAAGACCAAGAUGCAGGAAGUGUUUGAAAUGUCUGAUCUUGGGGAGAUGUCCUAUUUUCUUGGAAUGGAGGUGUCUCAAGUACAGAAUGAGAUAUUUCUAAGCCAGAGAAGCUUUGCCACAAAGAUUCUGACCAAGUUCUCCAUGCAAAAUAGCAAGGCAACUAAAACACCUGUUGCUGUUGGAGAAAAACUAUCGAGCCAAGGUGAUUUUGAGAAGGUAUGUGAAACAACCUACAGGAGUCUAGUUGGUUGCUUGCUAUACUUGACUGCCACUAGACCAGACAUCAUGUAUGCUGUGGGAUUGCUCUCAAGGUUCUUGCAUUGCUGCAAUGAGAAGCAUUUCCAAGCUACAAAGAGAGUGCUGAGAUAUGUCAAAGGCACUUUAAACUAUGGUUUGAAGUAUAGCAAAGAAGGAAAUCUGAAGCUGGUUGGGUACACUGAUAGUGACUGGGCUGGCUCGAUAGAUGACAUGAAAAGCACCUCACGGUAUGCUUUUAACCUUGGUUCAGCCAUGUUUUGCUGGAGCUCGAAGAAGCAAAGUCUAGUGGUUCAAUCUACUGCUGAAGCAGAGUAUGUGGCAGCAGCAAGUGCUGUCAACCAAGCCAUAUGGCUAAGGAAAAUCUUGGCUGACUUGAAUGUGCAUCAAGAGGAAGCUACUGAGAUCUUCUGCGACAACCAAUCUGCAGUAGCAAUUGCUAGAAAUCCAGUGUUCCAUGGAAGAACAAAGCAUUUCAGCAUCAAGUUACAUGUUGUUCGAGAAAUGGAGCAAGCUCAGGAAGUAAAGCUGAUCCACUGUAAUUCAGAGGAUCAACUUGCAGACAUUUUAACCAAAGCCCUUAGUGUCACAAGGUUCGAAUGUCUAAGAAAGAAACUAGGUGUUUGCUCCAUGCAAACCAAGGAGGAGUGAUGAAGUUGGUUCAGCAUGCAGCAAACUCGACAACAUGCAGGCCAUGAAGACCAAGACAUGCAGGAGCUGCUGAUGUAAGCUUAUUUUGUUUAUUUUGUAAUUUUUAGUCAAUGAAAUGUAAUCUUAGUUCAUUUCUAACUAAGUUAGAUUGUUGACUGAUGUAAUUAGCUUAUGUAUGAGCUGUAAACACAACUUUGUAUAGGUUUACAAGCUAAAAUUUCAAGUUUCCAUGUAAUUAGUAGGAGUAGGUGAUGUUUAGGUAAUUACUUGCUUUUUUUGACAAGCUUAGUGCUUGUUUUAUGUAUUGGCAUUAUGCCAUUAUUCAAUUAGAUGAAUGAAGUUCAGUUUGUUCAUCAUUAUUCCUCUUCAUUUUUCUUAGCUUUUCUUUCUUUCUUCUGCUCGAAUUCUCUUGUUUGCUCAGCAAGUCUCGAGACUUAGUCGACAAGUCUGUGCUGUGUCUGUUAGUUUCAGUUACUGCACCAACAAUUGGUAUCAGAGCCUAUUUUUUAAGGGAUCUAUUAUACAAAUACAUGGCGUCAUCAAGCUUUUCACCAGCUGCACCUCAAGUCUUCAAUGGAGAAGGCUAUCACAUAUGGGUGGUCAAAAUGAAGACCUACCUGCAGGCAUACGAUCUGUGGGAGGUGGUCAACUCAGAUGUUGAACCAGAACCACUUAGAGGCAAUCCAACAGUGGCUCAAAUCAGGCAGCAUGCUGAUGAGAGGACCAAGAGCCACAAAGCCAUGUCUUGCAUCCAGAACUCAGUGUCUGAUGUGAUUUUCACAAGGAUUAUGGCCUGUGAAUCACCAAAAUAGGCCUGGGACAAGUUGCAGGAAGAGUUUCAAGGGACAGAGAGGACAAGGCAGCAAUAGUUGUUGAACUUGAGGAGAGGUUUCGAGAAUUUGAAGAUGAAGGAAGAAGAAACUGUCAAGCAAUAUUCUGACAGGAUUAUGGCUGUGGUUAACAGCAUCAGGCUCCUUGGAGAGCAGUUCAAUGAAGCUAGGAUAGUGGAGAAGGUUAUAGCAACUCUGCCUGAGAGGUAUGAGGCAAAAAUCUCAUCUCUCGAGGACUCAAGGGAUCUGUCCACCAUCUCCCUGACAGAGUUGAUCAAUGCUCUAUAUGCUCAAGAGCAGAGAAGAACAAGCAGACUGGAGGAGCACCAAGAAAGUGCCUUUUAGGCAAGAACAAAUACUGCCUACAAAGGCAAGAAAGCCUGUAGAGACAAACCAAAGAAUGAUGCUGCAAGGAGAGAAGGUCAGACUUGCAAGCACUGCAGAAGGGUUGGUCAUCCAGAAGAAAAGUGCUGGUUUAAUCCAGAAGCUGUAUGUCAGUAUUGUAAGAAGAAGGGUCAUGUUGAGAAAGUCUGCAAGAGUAAGACCAAAUCGAGGCAGAAUCAGUUUCAACAGAUGAAAGCUGAGGCUCGAGUAGCUAAGGAGGACAGUGACCAAGAGGAGCAAGUCUUUGCUGUGUCAUGCUCAGCUGCUCAGGAAAGGUCCUCAUCUGGUUGGCUCCUAGACAGUGGAUGCACCAACCACAUGACACCUGAUGCUGCAAUCUUCAAGUCUUUAGACAGAAGCUGCAGAACUAAAGUCAAGAUAGGAAAUGGUCAUUUUAUUCAAGCUGAAGGCAAGGGUGAUGUGCUGAUAUGCACUCUUACAGGUACCAAAGUGAUUUCAAAUGUGCUGUUGGUGCCUGAAAUUGGUAGAAGCCUGCUCAGCAUAGCUCAGUUGCUGGAAAAAGGUUAUUCUGUUGUGUUUAAAGACCACCAGUGCCAAAUCAGUGAUCCAAGUGGAUCCAAACUGAUGGCAGUCCCUAUGGCUGAUAAGAGCUUUGUGGUUGACUGGACAAAGAAGUCAGACACUGCCUACACAGCCACAUCAGAUGAAUCCAAGCCGUGGCAUCAAAGACUGGGAUAUGCCAACUUCAGAUUGAUGGCCCGAAUGGUCAGAGAGGACCUGGCUGAAAAUUUCAUCAACUCAGUGGACCAUGAUGAUGUAUGUAAAGUAUGUCAACUAGGAAAGCAGGCCAGACUCCCAUUUCCCUCGAAUCAAGCCUGGAGAGCCUUUGAAAAACUCCAACUGGUGCAUACUGAUGUGUGUGGCCCUAUGAAGACUGAGUCAUUAAGUGGAAACAGGUAUUUUAUACUGUUCAUUGAUGAUUUUUCAAGAUAUUGCUGGAUUUACUUCUUAAAACAAAAAUCAGAGGUGGCCUCAGUGUUUUGAAAGUUCAAGACUGCUUCUGAGACUGAAACAGGCUGCAAGCUGAAGACCAUAAGGUCUGAUAAUGGGACUGAGUACACCUCAGCUCAGUUUUAAGCCUUCUAUGAUAAGGCAGGCAUCAAACAUCAACUUACCAACACAUAUACACCUAAGCAGAAUGGUGUAAGUGAAAGGAAGAAUAGGAGUUUGAUGGAUAUGGCCAGGUGCUUGAUGAUUCCGAAGAAUCUGCCUAAAGCACUAUGGGCAGAAGCAGUUAACACUGCAACAUACAUUCAAAAUAGACUUCCAACCAAGGCUUUGGAUCAGCAGACUCCAUUCGAGGCCUGGUUUGGCUUCAAGCCAUCACUAGCUCAUCUGAAGGUCUUUGGAUGCAUCUGUUAUGCACAUGUACCUGCUGUUAAAAGGGACAAAUUAUCUGAAAGAGCUCAACCUGGUGUACUGGUGGGCUACAGCACUGUUAAGAAAGGAUAUAGGAUCUUGGAUCCUUCAACAAACAAGGUGUCAGUUAGCAGGGAUGUGGUAUUUGAUGAAAGGUCAUGUUGGAACUGGGAAAGACAUGAACCUGAAGAAGUUUCUGAAGAACUAGCAACAGACCAAGCUGAGCCAGACCAAAAUGUUCCAGAAAUGGACAUUGAUGAUGAACCAGUCAGAGGAACAAGGCCAUUGACUGAGAUUUAUGAAAGGGCUCAUGUAGCCAUAGCUGAACCAAGCAACUUUGAAGAGGCUGAAGCUCAGCAAGGGUGGAAGCAGGCAAUGGCUGAGGAGAUCAGCAUGAUUGAGAAGAACCAGACCUGGGAAUUGGUUGAAAGGCCAGUCAAAAGGAAGGUGAUUGGGGUGAAAUGGGUGUACAAAGUCAAGCACAAUGCUGAUGGAACCUUGAACAAACUGAAAGCAAGGCUAGUUGUCAAGGGGUUUAGUCAGAAGUUUGGCCUGGACUACCUAGAGACCUUUGCACCAGUGGCCAGGCUCGACACCAUCAGACUAGUGAUUGCCUUAGCAGCACAGCUCGAAUGGAAAAUCCAUCAACUUGAUGUGAAAUCAGCCUUUCUGAAUGGUUUCUUAGAUGAAGACAUCUAUGUUGAACAACCAUAAGGGUUUGAAAUAGCUGGUAGAGAGCAUAUGGUCUACAAACUAAAGAAGGCCCUAUAUGGAUUAAAACAGGCUCCAAGGGCCUGGUAUAGCAGAAUCGAUGGCUACUUGACUGAUCUGGGAUUCGAUCGAAGCAAGAGUGAGCCAACACUGUAUGUCAAGAAACAAGGGACACAAACACAACUCAUUGUGUCCCUGUAUGUUGAUGACCUUCUGGUGACAGGAUGAGAUCGAGCAGUGCUGGCUGAUUUCAAGACCAAGAUACAGGAAGUGUUUGAAAUGUCUGAUCUUGGGGAGAUGUCCUAUUUUCUUGGAAUGGAGGUGUCUCAAGUACAGAAUGAGAUAUUUCUAAGCCAGAGAAGCUUUGCCACAAAGAUUCUGACCAAGUUCUCCAUGCAAAAUAGCAAGGCAACUAAAACACCUGUUGCUGUUGGAGAAAAACUAUCGAGCCAAGGUGAUUUUGAGAAGGUAUGUGAAACAACCUACAGGAGUCGAGUUGGUUGCUUGCUAUACUUGACUGCCACUAGACCAGACAUCAUGUAUGCUGUGGGAUUGCUCUCAAGGUUCUUGCAUUGCUGCAAUGAGAAGCAUUUCCAAGCUACAAAGAGAGUGCUGAGAUAUGUCAAAGGCACUUUAAACUAUGGUUUGAAGUAUAGCAAAGAAGAAAAUCUGAAGCUGGUUGGGUACACUGAUAGUGACUGGGCUGGCUCGAUAGAUGACAUGAAAAGUACCUCACGGUAUGCUUUUAACCUUGGUUCAGCCAUGUUUUGCUGGAGCUCGAAGAAGCAAAGUCUAGUGGUUCAAUCUACUGCUGAAGCAGAGUAUGUGGCAGCAGCAAGUGCUGUCAACCAAGCCAUAUGGCUAAGGAAAAUCUUGGCUGACUUGAAUGUGCAUCAAGAGGAAGCUACUGAGAUCUUCUGUGACAACCAAUCUGCAGUAGCAAUUGCUAGAAAUCCAGUGUUCCAUGAAAGAACAAAGCAUUUCAGCAUCAAGUUACAUGUUGUUCGAGAAAUGGAGCAAGCUCAGGAAGUAAAGCUGAUCCACUGUAAUUCAGAGGAUCAACUUGCAGACAUUUUAACCAAAGCCCUUAGUGUCACAAGGUUCGAAUGUCUAAGAAAGAAACUAGGUGUUUGCUCCAUGCAAACCAAGGAGGAGUGAUGAAGUUGGUUCAGCAUGCAGCAAACUCGACAACAUGCAGGCCAUGAAGACCAAGACAUGCAGGAGCUGCUGAUGCAAGCUUAUUUUAUUUAUUUUGUAAUUUCUAGUCAAUGAAAUGUAAUCUUAGUUCAUUUCUAACUAAGUUAGAUUGUUGACUGAUGUAAUUAGCUUAUGUAUGAGCUGUAAACACAACUUUGUAUAGGUUUACAAGCUAAAAUUUCAAGUUUCCAUGUAAUUAGUGGGAGUAGGUGAUGUUUAGGUAAUUACUUGCUUUUUUUGACGAGCUUAGUGCUUGUUUUAUGUAUUGGCAUUAUGCCAUUAUUCAAUUAGAUGAAUGAAGUUCAGUUUGUUCAUCAUUAUUCCUCUUUAUUUUUCUUAGCUUUUCUUCCUUUCUUCUGCUCGAAUUCUCUUGUUUGCUCAGCAAGUCUCGAGACUUGGUCGACAAGUCUGUGCUGUGUCUGUUAGUUUCAGUUACUGCACCAACAAUUGGUAUCAGAGCCUAUUUUUUAAGGGAUCUAUUAUACAAAUACAUGGCGUCAUCAAGCUUUUCACCAGCUGCACCUCAAGUCUUCAAUGGAGAAGGCUAUCACAUAUGGGUGGUCAAAAUGAAGACCUACCUGCAGGCAUACGAUCUGUGGGAGGUGGUCAACUUAGAUGUUGAACCAGAACCACUUAGAGGCAAUCCAACAGUGGCUCAAAUCAGGCAGCAUGCUGAUGAGAGGACCAAGAGGCACAAAGCCAUGUCUUGCAUCCAGAACUCAGUGUCUGAUGUGAUUUUCACAAGGAUUAUGGCCUGUGAAUCACCAAAAUAGGCCUGGGACAAGUUGCAGGAAGAGUUUCAAGGGACAGAGAGGACAAGGCAGCAACAGUUGUUGAACUUGAGGAGAGGUUUCGAGAAUUUGAAGAUGAAGGAAGAAGAAACUGUCAAGCAAUAUUCUGACAGGAUUAUGGCUGUGGUUAACAGCAUCAGGCUCCUUGGAGAGCAGUUCAAUGAAGCUAGGAUAGUGGAGAAGGUUAUAGCAACUCUGCCUGAGAGGUAUGAGGCAAAAAUCUCAUCUCUCGAGGACUCAAGGGAUCUGUCCACCAUCUCCCUGACAGAGUUGAUCAAUGCUCUAUAUGCUCAAGAGCAGAGAAGAGCAAGCAGACUGGAGGAGCACCAAGAAAGUGCCUUUCAGGCAAGAACAAAUACUGCCUACAAAGGUAAGAAAGCCUGGAGAGACAAACCAAAGAAUGAUGCUGCAAGGAGAGAAGGUCAGACUUGCAAGCACUGCAGAAGGGUUGGUCAUCCAAAAGAAAAGUGCUGGUUUAAUCCAGAAGCUGUAUGUCAGCAUUGUAAGAAGAAGGGUCAUGUUGAGAGAGUCUGCAAGAGUAAGACCAAAUCGAGGCAGAAUCAGUUUCAACAGAUGAAAGCUGAGGCUCGAGUAGCUAAGGAGGACAGUGACCAAGAGGAGCAAGUCUUUGCUGUGUCAUGCUCCGCUGCUCAGGAAAGGUCCUCAUCUGGUUGGCUCCUAGACAGUGGAUGCACCAACCACAUGACACCUGAUGCUGCAAUCUUCAAGUCUUUAGACAGAAGCUGCAGAACUAAAGUCAAGAUAGGAAAUGGUCAUUUUAUUCAAGCUGAAGGCAAGGGUGAUUUGCUGAUAUGCACCCUUACAGGUACCAAAGUGAUUUCAAAUGUGCUGUUGGUGCCUGUAAUUGACAGAAACCUGCUCAGCAUAGCUCAGUUGCUGGAAAAAGGUUAUUAUGUUGUGUUUAAAGACCACCAGUGCCAAAUCAGUGAUCCAAGUGGAUCCAAACUGAUGGCAGUCCCUAUGGCUGAUAAGAGCUUUGUGGUUGACUGGACAAAGAAGUCAGACACUGCCUACACAACCACAUCAGAUGAAUCCAAGCCGUGGUAUCAAAGACUGGGAUAUGCCAACUUCAGAUUGAUGGCCCGAAUGGUCAGAGAGGACCUGGCUGAAAAUUUCAUCAACUCAGUGGACCAUGAUGAUGUAUGUAAAGUAUGUCAACUAGGAAAGCAGGCCAGACUCCCAUUUCCCUCGAAUCAAGCCUGGAGAACCUUUGAAAAACUCCAACUGGUGCAUACUGAUGUGUGUGGCCCUAUGAAGACUGAGUCAUUAAGUGGAAACAGGUAUUUUAUACUGUUCAUUGAUGAUUUUUCAAGAUAUUGCUGGAUUUACUUCUUAAAACAAAAAUCAGAGGUGGCCUCAGUGUUUUGGAAGUUCAAGACUGCUUCUAAGACUGAAACAGGCUGCAAGCUGAAGACCAUAAGGUCUGAUAAUGGGACUGAGUACACCUCAGCUCAGUUCUAAGCCUUCUGUGAUAAGGCAGGCAUCAAACAUCAACUUACCAACACAUAUACACCUCAGCAGAAUGGUGUAAGUGAAAGGAAGAAUAGGAGUUUGAUGGAUAUGGCCAGGUGCUUGAUGAUUCCGAAGAAUCUGCCUAAAGCACUAUGGGCAGAAGCAGUUAACACUGCAACAUACAUUCAAAAUAGACUUCCAACCAAGGCUUUGGAUCAGCAGACUCCAUUCGAGGCCUGGUUUGGCUUCAAGCCAUCACUGGCUCAUCUGAAGGUCUUUGGAUGCAUCUGUUAUGCACAUGUACCUGCUGUUAAAAGGGACAAAUUGUCUGAAAGAGCUCAACCUGGUGUACUUGUGGGCUACAGUACUGUUAAGAAAGGAUAUAGGAUCUUGGAUCCUUCAACAAACAAGGUGUCAGUUAGCAGGGAUGUGGUAUUUGAUGAAAGGUCAUGUUGGAACUGGGAAAGACAUGAACCUGAAGAAGUUUCUGAAGAACUAGCAACAGACCAAGCUGAGCCAGACCAAAAUGUUCCAGAAAUGGACAUUGAUGAUGAACCAGUCAGAGGAACAAGGCCAUUGACUGAGAUUUAUGAAAGGGCUCAUGUAGCCAUAGCUGAACCAAGCAACUUUGAAGAGGCUGAAGCUCAGCAAGGGUGGAAGCAGGCAAUGGCUGAGGAGAUCAGCAUGAUUGAGAAGAACCAGACCUGGGAAUUGGUUGAAAGGCCAGUCAAAAGGAAGGUGAUUGGGGUGAAAUGGGUGUACAAAGUCAAGCACAAUGCUGAUGGAACCUUGAACAAACUGAAAGCAAGGCUAGUUGUCAAGGGGUUCAGUCAGAAGUAUGGCCUGGACUACCUGGAGACCUUUGCACCAGUGGCCAGGCUCGACACCAUCAGACUAGUGAUUGCCUUAGCAGCACAGCUCGAAUGGAAAAUCCAUCAACUUGAUGUGAAAUCAGCCUUUCUUAAUGGUUUCUUAGAUGAAGACAUCUAUGUUGAACAACCACAAGGGUUUGAAAUAGCUGGUAGAGAGCAUAUGGUCUACAAACUGAAGAUGGCCCUAUAUGGUUUAAAACAGGCUCCAAGGGCCUGGUAUAGCAGAAUCGAUGGCUACUUGACUGAUCUGGGAUUCGAUCGAAGCAAGAGUGAGCCAACACUGUAUGUCAAGAAACAAGAGACACAAACACAACUCAUUGUGUCCCUGUAUGUUGAUGACCUUCUGGUGACAGGAGGAGAUCGAGCAGUGCUGGCUGAUUUCAAGACCAAGAUGCAGGAAGUGUUUGAAAUGUCUGAUCUUGGGGAGAUGUCCUAUUUUCUUGGAAUGGAGGUGUCUCAAGUACAGAAUGAGAUAUUUCUAAGCCAGAGAAGCUUUGCCACAAAGAUUCUGACCAAGUUCUCCAUGCAAAAUAGCAAGGCAACUAAAACACCUGUUGCUGUUGGAGAAAAACUAUCGAGCCAAGGUGAUUUUGAGAAGGUAUGUGAAACAACCUACAGGAGUCUAGUUGGUUGCUUGCUAUACUUGACUGCCACUAGACCAGACAUCAUGUAUGCUGUGGGAUUGCUCUCAAGGUUCUUGCAUUGCUGCAAUGAGAAGCAUUUCCAAGCUACAAAGAGAGUGCUGAGAUAUGUCAAAGGCACUUUAAACUAUGGUUUGAAGUAUAGCAAAGAAGGAAAUCUGAAGCUGGUUGGGUACACUGAUAGUGACUGGGCUGGCUCGAUAGAUGACAUGAAAAGCACCUCACGGUAUGCUUUUAACCUUGGUUCAGCCAUGUUUUGCUGGAGCUCGAAGAAGCAAAGUCUAGUGGUUCAAUCUACUGCUGAGGCAGAGUAUGUGGCAGCGGCAAGUGCUGUCAACCAAGCCAUAUGGCUAAGGAAAAUCUUGGCUGACUUGAAUGUGCAUCAAGAGGAAGCUACUGAGAUCUUCUGUGACAACCAAUUUGUAGUAGCAAUUGCUAGAAAUCCAGUGUUCCAUGGAAGAACAAAGCAUUUCAGCAUCAAGUUACAUGUUGUUCGAGAAAUGGAGCAAGCUCAGGAAGUAAAGCUGAUCCACUGUAAUUCAGAGGAUCAACUUGCAGACAUUUUAACCAAAGCCCUUAGUGUCACAAGGUUCGAAUGUCUAAGAAAGAAACUAGGUGUUUGCUCCAUGCAAACCAAGGAGGAGUGAUGAAGUUGGUUCAGCAUGCAGCAAACUCGACAACAUGCAGGCCAUGAAGACCAAGACAUGCAGGAGCUGCUGAUGCAAGCUUAUUUUGUUUAUUUUGUAAUUUCUAGUCAAUGAAAUGUAAUCUUAGUUCAUUUCUAACUAAGUUUGAUUGUUGACUGAUGUAAUUAGCUUAUGUAUGAGCUGUAAACACAACUUUGUAUAGGUUUACAAGUUAAAAUUUCAAGUUUCCAUGUAAUUAGUGGGAGUAGGUGAUGUUUAGGUAAUUACUUGCUGUUUUUGACAAGCUUAGUGCUUGUUUUAUGUAUUGGCAUUAUGCCAUUAUUCAAUUAGAUGAAUGAAGUUCAGUUUGUUCAUCAUUAUUCCUCUUCAUUUUUCUUAGCUUUUCUUCCUUUCUUCUGCUCGAAUUCUCUUGUUUGCUCAGCAAGUCUUGAGACUUGGUCGACAAGUCUGUGCUGUGUCUGUUAGUUUCAGUUACAGCACCGACAAGUUGAGUCAGAGCCGAAGGAAUGCUGAUGAAAUUGUUACCACAAAGAUAAAGAUAACUCAAAGAGGAUAGACCAAAAAUGUCACUAUUAGUAUCUGCUUCACCAAGAGUGCACAUGUUGCAAUUUGACAAGUGAAGUGACUUGAGCUUUGAGAGUCGAGUAAGAGAUGCAGGUUUGCUGAUGAAAUUGUUACCAUUAAGAUUAAGAUGACUCAAAGAGGAUAGACCAGAAAUAUCACUAUGAGUAUCUGCUUCACCAAAAGUGCACAUGUUGCAAUUUGACAAUUUAAGAUUUUCAAGCUUCGAGAGUCGAGUAAGAGAUGCAGGUAUGCUGAUGAAAUUAUUACCACUAAGAUCAAGAGAUACCAAAGAGGAUAGACCAGAAAUAUCAGGUGGAAUAUCUACUUCACAAAGAUUGCAGUCCCUUAGUUUUAGCUCUCUUAAAGAACUCAAACCUGACAACAAAGGCAACAUCCGAGCCAUGGGAUUCAUCCUUCUUCCUUGGAUUACCUUGAAAAGAGAAGGCAAACUUGGUAGUAACUUAUAUGAUGGUCCCUUGCGCCCACUGAAAGACAGAACUUUAAGAUUUUUAAAUUGAAAAAUGAAGGAUGGUGGUUCUGCUAUGACUGUUUCACUCAAGUCGAGCUCUUCCAAAAACCUUGCGCCCAAUAUCCACAAAGAAACUAGAAAAAAUAAGUAUAUGAGCAUAGGGGUCAAAGAUGAGCGAUGGAUGUUGUUUCCAAGAAGGUGAGAGUUGGCAAAGUGGAGUCUACUUUAAUUAUAAGUAAUAAUUAAAAAUGUUGGACAGUUUGUAUUUUACGCAUUUAAUAAUUAGCAAUGUUAAUGGAUUGAUGUUCUCAGCCAAUCUGCAGCAGUCAUUGGCUCUAUGGCAAUCAAUGCCUGUAGGGCAGGCCAAACCCACUAAAUUUAACUUUGGUCGAAUCUGUAAUUUUAUACAUAAAAUUUUAAUUUGUAUCUAAUUUUCACAAAUUAUUAAUAUAGUAUCAUUUUAUGUUAAUAAAUUGCAUACACAUACAAUUAUAUUUAUCCAAUAUAAAUAUAAAUUAAUAUAUUUUAUUUCUUUAAAUGUAUAUGAUUUAACCACAAUCAAAGUUUCAUGUAUCCAUUUGAAUCAAAAUCAAAGUUCCACGUGUAUAAUUACACUAAAUCAAAGCUCAUUUAUUAAAUUGACAUUGAAUCAAAGUUAAUAUAUAAUUUUGAGAUUUAUCUCAAUAUUUUAAGACCUACAUAAUAAAAUAAUAUAAAAUAAUUAAAACACACAGUUUUGCUGCCAUCAAGAUUAUAUAUACAUGACACAAAUAACAAAUAUGUUAAACUCUCACGUAAAAUGAAUUAUUACCAUGUCAAGUUUUAUUUAAAUUUAUAGUACUUCGAAGAAAAAAACAAUGUAAAUAUACAUUUUAAAUGAAUAUGAGAAAUUAUGUAAAAUACAAGAUGAAUAUAAAUGUUGAGUGUAGUGGUAAGUCACAUUAUAUUUUUAAAGAAUGAACGCGGAUUCAAAUAUUAUUAAGAGGAUAGUCACAAGCCUCAAACAUAAACAAUAAAAUGAAUAUAUUGAAUAACUAUGACAAACUAUAUAAAAUAUAUUAUAAUAUAUAAGUAAUGUAAACAUGACAUACAUAUACAAUAUGCCAAUAUAUAUAAGUAAUAUGAUGGGAUUAGGUUCUCAUGCAAAGCUGUAUUUGUUGCUUAGGAUCGCUUCUGUAUUUCAUUUUCCCAACAUUUUCUUCCACUAAGCUCAGUAAUGCUGUUGAUUCAAUGUCUGCAGAUUAUAAUGGCGAAACCAGCUGGAGGUCCAGCGAGGAGAGAUAAAUGAAUCUAUUGAAUUUUUUAAAAGAAAAAAAUAUGAAUAAGUGUCUUUCGCACAAAAGAUUUUCUAAUGGAAUAUUAGUGCAUACUUUAUAUUCAUAUUUGAAUAAAUAUUAAAAAUAAAUGUAUAAACAUAAAUAUUUUAUAAAAAUAUAUAAACUGAGGAGUUGGAAUAAUAUUAUUUCUACUUCAAGCCAUGAAAUUUAAAUGAUACUUUAUUAGAAGGGAUUUAUAUUUAAUCUUUCAAAUAUAUAAAAACAGUUUUGACUGAUUAAAUUGAACACAUAAGUUGGUAUCCAAUAAAAAUAAAAUAAUUUUUAACUCAGUUAAAAUUAUAAUCGAUCCUUAUUAAAGGGUUCUCAUUUUAUCAUUACUUGCUUCGUCUCCAUUUUUUCUCACAUUAAUUUUGUUUUAAUUUGCUUCAUCUUCAACCUACAAAUAAAAUAUAGAUGUAAGUGAAUAUAUAUAUAUUGUGGAAAUAAAUUUUUAAUUAAAAAAAAAGAUGAAACCAAUCAAAAUAUACACAUUUCGAUUAUGUAAAAAGGAAUGAAUUAAGUGACUAAAAUUUUAAAUGGUCUAAAAAACAAUGUCAUCAACAUUUGAGAUAUGUACAUGUUUUGGCAUAUAAUGGAAGGAUCAUAUCUCAUAUGCAAAACAAGUCUAGAAUAAUUGUUUAAAUGAAAUACAAGAUGUGUAAAAAGAAAUUAAUAGGACAAAGUUGGUUAAGUAGUUUACCACAGUUAAUGCUUCUUUCUUGAUUGGCCCUUUACAAAAUUGAAAAUAUUUUGCAUCCGUUUUGGUUGCGGCUCUUCUUCUUCCGUUUCCACAUAGAUAUUAGGUUUCCGCUUUAUGUGAGAAGUGCUACCUACUGAUCCAUGGUUGUGAGCAGAGUGUUGGUGGAUGUGUUCAAAAUUUGGAGAAGAUUGAGUGGUAUCGCACUGUAACUCCUUCAUUUCUUCCAAAUCUUUCUCAUACACUAUUCUAACACCACACUUCUUCACCUUAACACAAGGGAAAUUUGGUCCAAUUACGUCAUUGAAAGACAACUCAAGCUCAUCGCCUAUUUGAUCAAAGCAAUCUGUUGUCCAUAAAUUAUUGGUUUCACAGUCACCAUAUUUAUCCUCCAAGGAAAUUGGAUAUAAUUGAUCACGCGGAAAAUAGCGAAGAAAAAGGUGAUCUUUCAUUAUGGGCUUGUCAAAGUAUCGACCUACCCACCGGUUUCUCCAACAAAUUCGUCGACAAUUUCUACCUCGAAAAAUAGAUCCUUCACAGCUGAUAAACUCGUCACCCCUUGAAGCAUCAUUAUUGACAAAAAUGCAGCAACAAGCAACUCCAAUCCAUUGACUAUCUUUCCGAAGGUUGAUAGGUAGGUGUAUCUUAAUUGAAAAGUCACUUUUUUGUUGGCUAAACCAUUCUGGAAUUUCACUUCCGGGCAUCAUAAUAUCAAAGAAGCCAUCAUCAAAAUAUUUUCUAGAAUUUUGAAGUGCCUGCAAAAUAAAACACAAGUCGUCUGGUAACUAAAACCAUAAAUUCUCAAGUAUGAGAUUUUGUAAGGGAGAAAAAAUAGAUUAAUAGACCUUAAUAUGUUCUUUCAGUAGUGCUAAUGCAUUGAUUUUCUCAGCCAAUUUGAAGCAGUUAAUGGCAUCAAUGCUUUCACCACCCACUAAAUUGCAUACUUUUGAUGGACUUGCAACUACUUCAAGUGAAGAACAAUCAUCUAUUGUCACACUUCCUAUACUUUUUGGUAGCUCAGGCAACGAUUUAAGCAUCUUGCAACCUGACAAUUCAAGCAAUUUGAGCCUGGAAAGUUGAGUAAGAGCCAAAGGAAUGCUGAUGAAAUUGUUACCACUAAGAUAAAGAUAACUCUAAGAGGAUAGACCAGAAAUAUCACUAUGAGUAUCUGCUUCACCAAGAGUGCACAUGUUGCAAUUUGAUAAUUCAAGAGACUUAAGCUUUGAGAGUCGAGUAAGAGAUGCAGGUAUGCUGAUGAAAUUCUUACCACUAAGAUUAAGAUAACUCAAAGAGGAUAGACCAGAAAUAUCACUAUGAGUAUCUGUUUCACCAAAAGUGCACAAGUUGCAAUUUGACAAUAUAAGAUAUGCAAGCUUCGAGAGUCGAGUAAGAGAUGCAGGUAUGCUGAUGAAAUUGUUACCACUAAGAUCAAGUAUUUCCAAACAGGAUAGACCAGAAAUAUCAGGUGAAAUAUCUCCUUCACAAAGAUUGCAGUCCCUUAGUUUUAGCUCUCUUAAAGAACUCAAACCUGACAACAAAGGCAACAUCCUAGCCAUGGGAUUCGUCCUUCUUCCUUGGAUUACCUUGAAAAGAGAAGGCAAAUUAGGUAGUAACUUAUAUGAUGGUCCCUUGCACCUAUUAAAAGACAGAAAUUUAAGAUUUUUAAAUUGAAAAAUGAAGGAUGGUGGUUCUGCUAUGGCUGUUUCACUCAAGUCGAGCUUUUCCAAAAACUUUGCUUGCUACAAAUUCUCCGAUAAAUUUUCCACUCUAUAACAACUGGAAAGAUCUAGAGUUUUUAGACGUUCCAUUUUCCCAUCAAUCUCCGGAAACCUUACAAGACUUGAGCAACCCGAAAGAAUUAAUGUUUCAAGAGAUUCCAUUCUGAAGAAGUUGGUUCAGCAUGCAGCAAACUCUCGACAGCAUGCAGGCCAUGAAGACCAAGCUGUGCGGGAGCUGCUAAUUCAAGCUAUUUUUGUUCAUUUUGUAAUCUUUAGUCAAUGAAACGUAAUCUAGUUCAUUUAGAACUAUGUUAGGUAGAUGAUUGAUGUAAUUUACUGACAUAUGAGCUGUUAAUUCAGCUUUGCUUGUAUACACAAGCUAAUUACUUCAAGUUUCAAUGCUUAGUGGUGUUAGGUAACCAUUAGGUGUAUGUUUACUGUUUUUGACAAGCUUAGUGCUUGGUUUAUGUAUUGGCAUUGUGCCAUUAUUCAAUUUAUGAAUGAAAUCAGUUUGUUCAUCAACUUUCACUCCAUUUUUCUUAGUUUUUCUUCUUUUCUUUUGCUUGAAUUCUCUUGUUUGCUCAGCAAGUCUCGAGGCUUGCUCGACAAGUCUGUGCUGAGUCUGUUAGUUUCUGUUGUUGUUCCAACAAUUGGUAUCUAGAGCCUAUUUCUUAAGGGAUCUGUUAUACAAAUCCAUGGCUUCAUCAAGCUUUUCACCAGCUGCACCUCAAGUCUUCAAUGGUGAAGGCUAUCACAUAUGGGUGGCAAAAUGAAGACCUACCUGCAGGCUUACGAUCUGUGGGAAGUGGUCAACUCAGAUGUUGAACUAGAGCCACUUAGAGGCAAUCCAACAGUGGCUCAGAUCAGGCAGCAUGCUGGUGAGAGGACCAAGAGGCACAAAGCCAUGUCUUGCAUCCAGAACUCAGUGUCAGAUGUGAUUUUCACAAGGAUUAUGGCCUGUGAAUCACCAAAACAUGCCUGGGAUAAGUUGCAAGAAGAGUUUCAAGGGACAGAGAGGACAAGGCAGCAACAGUUGUUGAACUUGAGGAGAGAUUUCGAGAAUUUAAAGAUGAAGGAAGAAGAAACUGUCAAGCAGUACUCUGACAGGAUUAUGGUUGUGGUUAACAGCAUUAGGCUCCUUGGAGAGCAGUUUAAUGAAGCUAGGAUAGUGGAGAAGGUUAUAGCAACUCUGCCUGAGAGGUAUGAGGUAAAAAUCUCAUCUCUCGAGGACUCAAGGGAUCUGUCUACUAUUUUCCUGACAGAGUUGAUCAAUGCUCUAUAUGCUCAAGAGCAGAAGAGAGCAAGCAGACUGGAGGAGCACCAAGAAGGUGCCUUUCAGGCAAGGACAAAUUCUGCCUACAAAGGCAAGAAUGCUUGGAGAGACAAGCCAAAGAAUGAUGCCGCAAGGAGAGAAGGUCAGACUUGCAAGCACUGCAGAAGGAAUGGUCAUCCAGAAGAAAAAUGCUGGUUUAAUCCAGAUGCUGUGUGUCAGCAUUGUAAGAAGAAGGGUCAUGUUGAGAGAGUCUGCAAGAGCAAGGCCAAAUCAAGACAGAAUCAGUUUCAACAGAUGAAAGUUGAGGCUCGAGUAGCUAAGGAGGACAGUGACCAAGAGGAGCAAGUCUUUGCUGUGUCAUGCUCAACUACUCAGGAAAGGUUCUCAUCUGGUUGGCUCCUAGACAGUGGAUGUACCAACCACAUGACACCUGAUGCUGCAAUCUUCAAGUCUUUAGACAGAAGCUGCAGAACUAAAGUCAAGAUAGGAAAUGGCCAUUUCAUUCAAGCUGAAGGCAAGGGUGAUGUACUGAUAUGCACCCCUACAGGUGCCAAAGUGAUUUCAAAUGUGCUCUUGGUGCCUGAAAUUAAUAGAAACCUGCUCAGCAUAGCUCAGUUGCUGGAGAAAGGUUAUUCUGUUGUGUUCAAAGACAACCAGUGCCAAAUCAGUGAUCCAAGUGGAUCCAAACUGAUGGCAGUCCCUAUGGCUGAUAAGAGCUUUGUAGUUGACUAGACUAGGGAGUCAAAUAUUGCCUACACAGCCAUAUCAGAUGAAUUCAAGCUGUGGCAUCAAAGGCUGGGACAUGCCAACUUCAGAUCGAUGGCUCGAAUGGUCAGAGAGGACUUAGCUGAAAACUUCAUCAACUCAGUGGAUUAUGAUGAUGUGUGUGAGGUGUGCCAGCUAGGAAAGCAGGCCAGACUACCAUUUCCUUUGAAUCAAGCCUGGAGAGCCUCUGAAAAACUCCAACUGGUGCACACUGAUGUGUGUGGCCCUAUGAGGACUGAGUCAUUAAGUGGAAACAGAUAUUUUAUACUGUUUAUUGAUGAUUUCUCAAGAUAUUGCUGGCUUUACUUCUUAAAAUAGAAAUCAGAGGUGGCCACUGUAUUUUGGAAGUUCAAAACUACUGCUGAGACUGAAACAGGCUGCAAGCUGAAGACCAUAAGGUCUGAUAAUGGGACUGAGUACACCUCAGCUCAGUUCCAAGCCUUCUGUGAUAAGGUAGGCAUCAAACAUCAGCUUACCAAUAUUUAUACACCUCAGCAAAAUGGUGUAAGUGAAAGGAAGAAUAGGAGUUUAAUGGAUAUGGCCAGGUGCUUGAUGAUUCAGAAGAAUCUGCCUAAAGCACUAUGGGCAGAAGCAGUUAACACUGCAACAUACAUUCAAAAUAGACUUCCAACCAAGGCUUUGGAUCAGAAGACUCCAUUCGAGUCCUGGUUUGGCUUCAAGCCAUCAUUGGCUCAUCUGAAGGUCUUUGGAUGCAUCUGUUAUGCACAUGUACCUGCUGUUAAAAGGGACAAAUUGUCUGAAAGGGCUCGACCUUGUGUUCUGGUGGGCUACAGCAUUGUUAAGAAGGGCUAUAGGAUUUUGGAUCCUUCAACAAAGAAAGUGUCAGUAAGCAGAGAUGUGGUAUUUGAUGAAAGGUCAUGCUGGAACUGGGAAAGGCAUGAACCUGAGGAAGUUUCUGAAGAACUUGUAGCAGACCAAGCUGAGCCAGAACAAAAUGUUUCGAAAAUGGACAUUGAUGAUGAACCAGUCAGAGGAACAAGAUCAUUGACUGAGAUUUAUGAAAGGGCUCAUGUAGCCAUAGCUGAACCAAGCAACUUUGAAGAGGCUGAAGCUCAACAAGGGUGGAUGCUGGCUGAGGAGAUCAGCAUGAUUGAGAAGAACCAGACCUGGGAAUUGGUUGAAAGGCCAGUCAAAAGGAAGGUGAUUGGGGUGAAAUGGGUGUACAAAGCCAAGCAGAAUGCUAAUGGAACCUUGAACAAACUGAAAGCAAGGCUAGUUGUCAAGGGGUUCAGUCAGAGGUAUGGCCUGGACUACCUGGAAACCUUUGCACCAGUGGCCAGGCUCGACACCAUCAGACUGCUGAUUGCCUUAGCAGCACAGCUCGAAUGGAAGAUCCAUCAACAUAAUGUGAAAUCAGCCUUUCUGAAUGGUUUCUUAGAUGAAGACAUCUAUGUUGAACAACCACAAGGGUUUGAAAUAGCUGGCAGAAAGCAUAUGGUCUACAAACUGAAGAAGGCCCUAUAUGGCUUGAAACAGGCUCCAAGAGCCUGGUACAGCAGAAUCGAUGGCUACUUGACUGCUUUGGGAUUCGAUCGAAGCAAGAGUGAGCCAACACUGUAUGUCAAGAAGCAAGGGACACAAACACUACUCAUUGUGUCCCUGUAUGUUGAUGACCUGCUGGUGACAGGAGGAGAUCGAGCAGUGCUGGUCGAUUUCAAGACCAAAAUGCACGAAGUAUUUGAAAUGUCUGAUCUAGGGGAAAUGUCCUACUUCCUGGGAAUGGAGGUGACUCAAACACAGAAGGGGAUAUUUCUAAGUCAGAAGAGCUUUGCCACAAAGAUUCUGACCAAGUUCUCCAUGCAAAAUAGCAAGGCAACUAAGACACCUAUUGCUGUUGGAGAAAGACUAUCGAGCCAAGGUGAUUUUGAGAAGGUAUGUGAAACUACCUACAGGAGUCUAGUUGGUUGUUUGCUAUACUUGACUGCCACUAGGCCGGACAUAAUGUAUGUUGUAUGAUUGCUCUCAAGGUUCUUACAUUGUUGCAAUGAGAAGCAUUUCCAAGCUGCCAAGAGAGUGCUCAGAUAUGUCAAGGGCACUUUGGACUAUAGUUUAAGGUACAACAAGGAAGGAAAUCUAAAGCUAGUUGGACACUGAUAGUGACUGGGCUGGCUCGAUAGAUGACAUGAAAAGCACCUCAGGGUAUACUUUUAACCUUGGUUCAGCCAUGUUCUGUUGGAGCUCGAAGAAACAAAGCCUGGUGGCUCAAUCAACUGCAGAGGCAGAGUAUGUGGCAGCUGCAAGUGCUGUCAAUCAAGCCAUCUGGCUAAGGAAAAUCUUAAUUGAUUUGAAUGCUCAACAGAAGGAAGCAACUGAGAUCUUCUGUGAUAACCAAUCUGCAGUUGCAAUUGCUAAAAAUCCAGUGUUCCAUGGAAGAACAAUGCAUUUUAGCAUCAAGUUGCAUGUUAUUCGAGAAAUGGAGCAAGCUCAGGAAGUGAAACUGAUCCACUGUAAUUCUGAGGAUCAACUUGCAGACAUUUUGACUAAAGCUCUUAAUGUCACAAGGUUCGAAUGUCUAAGAAUGAAGCUAGGUGCUUGCUCCAUACAAACCAAGGAGGAGUGAAGAAGUUGGUUCAGCAUGCAGCAAACUCUCGAAAGCAUGCAGGCCAUGAAGACCAAGUUGUGCAGGAGCUGCUAAUUCAAGCUGUUUUUGUUCAUUUUGUAAUAUUUAGUCAAUGAAACGUAAUCUAGUUCAUUUAGAACUAUGUUAGGUAGAUGAUUGAUGUAAUUUGCUGACAUAUGAGCUGUUAAUUCAGCUUUGCUUGUAUACACAAGCUAAUUACUUCAAGUUUCAAUGCUUAGUGGUGUUAGGCAACCAUUAGGUGUAUGUUUACUAUUUUUGACAAGCUUAGUGCUUGGUUUAUGUAUUGGCAUUGUGCCAUUAUUCAAUUUAUGAAUGAAACCAGUUUGUUCAUCAACUUUCACUCUAUUUUUCUUAGUUUUUCUUCUUUUCUUUUGCUUGAAUUCUCUUGUUUGCUCAGUAAGUCUCGAGGCUUGCUCGACAAGUCUGUGCUGAGUCUGUUAGUUUCUGUUGUUGUUCCAACACAUUCCAAUUUUUGUUGGAAGAGUCCUAACACUUUUGCAAUCUCUUAAAUUCAAAAGUUUAAGGCUCUUAAGCACCCGGAUUGAUGGAUGAACAUCAACUAAUUUGGUACAACCUUCCAAAAUCAAAACUUCAAGAUUUGAUGCGGUUGUGAAGUCUGGUGUUUUGAUCAGGUUUUGAGACCCUCUGAUGUUCAUUAUUUUCAAGUUAAACAAGGGCUGUUGAAGACCAUAAUAAAUUAGAAACAAAUGAGAAAACAUAAUAACGCUCAUUUUUUUUGUUUUACCUUAAUCAAAGUUUAAUAAUUUUUAUUAAAAUAAGCUAAAACAUAAAGAUAAGAUGAGUUAAUUCUUACUUUAUUUCCCUUCCAUAGUUGUUGAAUGUGACUAUAUGGUAAAAGAAGUGCGACAAGGUUGUCCGGUUGAAAGCUUGAAGGCAAGUAUCCUAAAGGGUAUCCUAUCCAAUCUAAAAGUCGUAGUUCAUUAGAAAGAUAUUUGAGAUCAUUACAAUUUGAAAGGCAAAGCACUUUGAGCAAUCUCAGUUUUUUCAUCUUCAAGAAGGUAUCCACACUCAAAUUGAGCAUCUUGAUCGAUUCCCUAAUAUCCAUGAGGAAAACAAAAAUGAGCUUCAAAAUAUAUAAAAACAUUCAAUAUCUAAAAGAAAUGUUGCAUCGAUAUUGUUUUUUAAGUACUCGUAUCCAAUAUUUAUAUCUAAUGCACAUUCGUAUAUGGGUUUUAAGAUAUGAUCCUUUAAGAACCUUUUAAAUACAUGAAAAAAAUAAUUUUUAAUUUUUUUUACUAUAUCCAUAUUAAAGAGAUACUUAUAUCUAACAAUCACAUCCGAUGUUAAAUUACCUAAUCCUAAAAAAUUGAAUAAAUAUUGUGAUUUAUAUUUAGUUUGCAAACAAUGCAUAAUUUACAAGUUAAUGAACCAAACAACGACACAUAAUUAAAAAUGAAAACCAUUUUCAUUAAAAAAAUUUUGAUGACAUGUUAUAAUCCAAUUCGUUGAUAUACACUUUUAGUACAUUAAAUAUAUACAAAUAAUUUUCACAAAAAAAAUAUACCAUUAAUAUUUCAAAAAUACAUACAUUUCUCAUUUGAUUCUUUUGAAAAAGUAAAUAUGUUGCUAGAUAAAUUUCAUAAUUAAACAUUGAAAUAUUAAAUGUCAAAAGUUUUGCUAUAGUUUUUUUAUCAUAUUUAAAAAUAAUAAUUAUUUACAGCACACACAGAUAUAAGUUUAUGUGUGUCUUCUUAUCUUUUAUUAUCGAUGAUUAUGCCUUCAAUCAUUUCUGUAGCCUAAAAAAAUUUAAGAACAGACAAUAAGAAAAUAAAAUAAAUGGUGAAUAAUGUAGGAUAAAAAAGAAAUAGUAUGUAACUUUUGUUGAAUGACUUGCUGUGUUUUUUGUUAGGACAUGAUGGACGUCCCUUUUCUCCCACAAUCUACAACGUUUUCUAGGUUCAUCAACACAUUUUUCUUUAACAAUUGUUCUUCCCAUUUCUUGCAACAAGCUAUGCCUCCACAAAUAUUGGUUGCCAUCAUCGAAUUUUAUUAAAGAUUUCUUAAUGAGAACAUCAAUUCCAAUAUCGGGGACAAACUCACAACUAUCCAAUACUUUCAUUACAAAAUCUUUCUUCUCCGCAUUAAAGAAGCAUGCUAUAUCUUAAAAUAUAUUCUUCUCCCUUUCUUCUAAUCCAUGAAGUUUAUCAAGAAUUCCUUUAUUAGAAUCUCUUUUAAGUCUUUCAAUCGCACUUCUCCAUUGAGUCGCAUCUUUACCCCAAAAAAAGGAACCAAAAACUUCAAGAGCUAAAGGGAGUCCACCAGCAUAAUUUACAACAUGUUUAGAAAGCUCAAUGAAAUCAUCUUUCUGCACUGUAUCACUAUGAAAAGCUUUCAGACUGAAAAGUUGAAACGCAUCUUUGGGAUUCUGUGUUGUGGGCAUAUACACAUCAUUAACUUGGCAACAUCGAAGCAAAUGUUCGUCUCUUUUUGUUACAAUGUUUCUACUCCCUAAUCCAAACCAAUCAUGCCUUCCAACCAAGCAUUUUAGGUGUUGUAUGUUAUCAACAUUAUCAAGAACAACAAGAACCUUUUUGUGAGACAACCUAUGGCUAAUUAUUUUAUUUCCUUCAUGAACAUUGAAAAAGUUGAAGCAUUCACCAUGAAAGAUCUGUGAAAGAAGUUGUUUCUGUAAAGAAACUAGUCCGCAUUUGUCUGAAACUUCUCGAAUAUCAGCAAUAAAGCUUUUACCUUCAAAAUGAGGUGACAUUUGAGUGUAAGCAACUCUUGCGAGUGUCGUUUUACCGAUGCCACCCAUUCUGUAAAUUCCUAUAACGCGGACAUCAUCUUCCCCAAUGUUUAUUUUCAAAUACAAAUCCUCCAAGCGUUCACUAAUACCAACCAAGUCGCUAUGACUAACUGGAUAUGUCUGACUAGUUUUGCCGAUAUCUUCCUAACAAUGUCUCAAAUAAAUUCUGAUUCGUGCCUAAAAAAAAAGAAAUUUUAAUGUUUUGAGUAAAAUUUUGUUGAUAUGUUUCGAAUGCACUUUCUUUUUCAAUGAAUCAUGAAACAUAAUAUAGUUUGGAAGCAAACAAGAACCAAGAAUAAGAAAGCAAGAUCUGUUGCCGAGCCAGAAGACAAAAUUUGCUCUUUUAUUUAAAUAUGACACUUUUCAAUUAAACACACUGGAUUAGAAAAAAAAUGUUAUACAUACAUACAUACAUAUAUAUAUCCAAAAAACUAGAAAAUAGAGAAGAAAAGAAAGAAUUACCUUUUAUUUAAAUGCCAUCCCUUGAUUGCAGCCACUUGAAUCAAAGCAUUUCGCCACCUUUGGAUCUUCUCACUUUCUUCUUUGUAUCUCUCUUCAUGUCUGGCAAAGGCUUCUUCCACUUUCCCUUUUUGUUUUCUUAAAUCAGAUGGAUCAACAUCGUAAAAAAUUGGAAACACUUUAUGGUCGUCGUUGUUAUGUUGUUGAACAAUCUCAGCAAGCUCCUCCAAGCACCAACUUGAAAAGGCAUAGGUUUGUGAAAAAACGAUUACCGAGCACCAUGAUUGCUGAAUUGCUUUAAAGAGGUCUGGCGCGAUCUCUUCCCCGCUCCCAGCACCAAAUCCCCAAAUCCCCUAUCUAUCGAAAUCCCCAACCAGUAAGAGGCAGAGAGAGCAGUUUGUCGAUUUCUUACCCGCCAUUCUUCAAUUGGUUUAUUCCUUACAAGGAAAAGCUUCAGUGUUUCGGUUUCUUUCAUACUUUCAUAACCCAGACAGUGAAGACGAAGAAGGUUCGAUUUUUUAAAGUUCGAUUUUUUUCUUUGCCCGUGUAUUUAAACUUUGGGUUUUCUUGUUUUUGUAAAUUUUUUUGUUUGUAAUUUGUUGAUGAGCCUGAAAUUAAGUGAAAUCGUCUUCUCUGUGUAUAGGGUUUUCGCUUCUUUCAUUUAGCUUCAUCGUCGCCAAGGUAAUGUUUUCAUUUCUCGGUUUAUUUUGUGUUCAUUUGUCUCCAUCGUCGUCUUCUCGGUUUAUGGGACGUAUUCUGUAAUGCUUUCAUUUCUUUUAUAUAGGUAAUGCUUUCAAUUGUUUGGAAUAAAUGUGUUGUUGUUGGUGACGAUAGGUUGGAAAUGAGUUGGAGUUUAGCAUAGAUUAUGUUGACAGCCUUGGAGGAAUUUUAGGGCUUACUGUCUCUUUAUGUUUCUUUAUUUUGCUUACUGUCUUGUAAAUAUCAUUUUAUUUUGCUGCUGACUGUCUGCUUUAUGUUUCUUUCCAUAGGUGUAGAGAUUUAUUAUUUGAUGAAUGUAGUGGGGACUUUGCUUAAAUCACAAAUUUUAUGUAUUUUUUUGGUUUUCUUUCUUGAAAUUCAAUUCUUUUACUUGGUAACAGAUCUUGCAGCUUAGAAAGGAAUAUGAACGCAUAAUUUUUUGUGUCUCUAUUUUCUGUUUUCUCUUUUCUAUUUCUGUUUCUGUACCAUUUUUGCUUGUGUAGCUUAAUUUAUUAUCAAUGAACAGCAUGUUAUCUUUUUAUAUUUUUUUUAUUCUUUUACACAAAUAGUAACACUUCUUUUAUUUUAAUAUGUAUUUUAUUUUAUUUUAUUUUAUAAUACUUAAACUAUUAUUUUGUUAUAUAUUUUAACCCAACGAUACUGGAAAAUCAUAGCACGUGAAGCUAUUAAAAAAAGUAAAAUUUCUAUAACAGAAUUUAAUUUUUUUAAGAGAAGUAUAUUAAAAUUCAAAAUAAUAUUUGUGCAACGAUGAUAAACGCCAGCCAAAGUCAAUUAUUUGGUAUGCUUGCAUGUUUUACUUAAUUUAUAUUCUCGAAAUUUUAAAAUAAAUGAAACCCAAUUGUUAGGGGAUUUUGAUUUUGACCAUCCAUCUUUUAUAUCAUAACUUACAUAACUUACAUAAUACACAACUUACAUAACUUACAUAAUACAUAACUUACAUAAUUUACAUAAUACAUAAAUUUAUAUCAUAUCAGUGGUUAUAUAACUUAUUUAUACUUAUAAAUGAACAACUUACCAGUGUAAUUUAUUGUCAACAUCAGACUUCAAACAUUAAGAAAUGGAUCGAUCUUGGAUGAAUUUGUCAAGUGUAAGCAACGGUUAUCGGAAUGGAGUACAAACUUUUUUAGAUUUUGCAUUUCAAUAUGCAAGCCAAGAGAACAUGAUUCUUUGCCCGUGUAAGAAGUGUGUCAACAUCAACUAGUAUUAUUGUGAAGUUGUAUACGAGCAUCUAGUUGUUGAUGGGUUUAUCCGAGGUUAUAAAAAAUGGAUUUUCCAUGGAGAAUGCACAUCGAGUACUUCCUCUUCAACGAUGGAUGUAUCUUAUCCUGGUAGUGCUUACCAUCGGUCUGUUAGAGGAGAUGACAUGGAAGGUAUGUUUCGGGAUGCAUUUAAUAUGCACAAUCAUGGUUUCCAAUCGUUCCCAGCCGACUUUGUGGCAUAUGAUGAUUGUAAUCUCGGUGAAAAUGCUUUUACUGGAACAGGAAGAAGUGUACCUUAUGAAGAGCUGAAUGGAGAAGCGGCAAAGUUCUAUGCGCUACUUAAUGAAAUGAACGAAGAACUUUAUGUGGGAUCAAAAUUUUCAAAAAUGUCCUUCUGUAUUCAUCUUUUUCAGUUAAAAUGUUUGGGAGGGUGGACCAAAAACUUUUUGACAAUGCUGUUAGAGUUUUUGAGAGAUAUGUUUCCGUUUGCGAAAAUCUCUCACUCAUGCAAAGAUAUGAAGAAAUUCAUAAAAGAUUUAGGUCUUGGGUACAACAAAAUUCAUAGUUGCCCAAAUGACUGCAUGUUGUAUUGGGGUGAUUGGAAAAACCAACAGUGUUGUCAUGUAUGCGGCCAAUCCCAUCGGAUGAAUAGAAACACAGAUGAUAGGAAUGACGAUGAAAAUGAAACACAGUCAAGGAAGAAGCCAAAUAAGAUUUUCUGAUUUUUCCGCUAAAACUAAGGCUUCAAAGGCUUUUCAUGUGGUCGAAGACAGCCGAGUCGAUGACAUGGCACCAUUAUGGACGAACCAAUGAUGGAUUACUAAGGCAUCCGGUGGAUUCUUUAUCUUGGAAAUCAUUUGACAGUAAAUUUCUAAGCUUUGCAAGCGAUCCUAGGAGUGUAAGACUUGGGCUAGCAUCUGAUGGAUUUAAUCCUUACAAGAUCAUGAGCACUACGUACAGUACUUGGCCUGUAGUGCUUGUUCCUUACAAUUUGCCUCAAUGGAUUUGCAUGAAGCAAUCUUCCCUUAUCUUAUCUAUGAUUAUCCUGGAGAGAAAGGUCCCGGGAAUGAUAUCGACAUUUAUUUACAGCCACUUAUUGAAGAGUUAAAACAAUUGUACUCUGAAACACCCCUAGAGACUUAUUUGACAUGGGCAAUGGAAGUAGAGAUGACAUCAUCGAAAGAUCAGAAACUUUGCCUUUUCCAGAACAAAACUUAAAUGAAAAUAUCCCUAGUACUAGUACACAAUUUCAAUGGGUUCGUCAGGAGUAGUAAGAUUUUACGAGUUUUUAAAUAUAUUUUGUUUAUAAUUUUAAUAUUGCUAAUGUUAUAUAAUUUAACUAUUUUAAAUGUACUAUUAUUGUUGUAAUUUGUUACUAAAAUUUCAACUAUCUUAUGUGUAUUGCAGGAAAAAUGCGCAGAAGAAGAUUACAAAAUUUAAGUAUUGUCUGAAAUACUCCAAAUUUCGAAGAAGGAAAUAGUGAACAGCAGACAGUUAUUGGAUCUUCGAAUGUGCCGGAGACAGUUGAUGAGCCUGCAGAAUUUCAAAGUAAUGUUAAGUUUAUUUUACAUGCGUGUUGACUUUUAUUAUUGCCCGUAUUUCUCAAUUUCAAUGUAUAUAAUAAUAUAUUAUUUUCUAGCUGAAAGUGGUGGGACGCGCAAAGGUUGAGGACAUACGUUACUUAAAGAUUUAUACGAUUUAAAUCCUGUCGAGCGUGUCAAAGUAGGUAGAAACAGUCAUGGUCAGCCUGUUGGAUCAGAAGCUCGACUUUUAGCAGGCUAUUUGGGCAUUAUAGCAUGAAAUGCCAAUAUGUUGCCCAUCAACUAUGAAUCAUGGCAUCACAUGCCUGAUAGCAACAAAAAUCAAGCUUUCGAUAAUAUUAAGGUAACAAAACGUGAAUGUAAUUUAUAUACUUUGCUUUAAGUUUCUUUUAUAUUUACUUUCUAAACUUUUGUUUUUUAGGAGAGAUUUGCUUUACUGGUCUCCGAUGCCUAUAUCAAGAAGGCAUUAGGUAAAAAAUGGAGAGACCAUAAGAGCACUUUGAAAAAAGAAUAUUUUAAGAAAGACAUAAGCCUCGAAGAAAAAUUACGAUAUGUCCCGCCGGGAAUGCUGAGGUACCAAUGGGAAGAUGCGGUUAGAUUUUGGAAUUCAAAGAAAGGAGAGAUAUUACCUACUUCCAAACUCUUAUAAACUUUUCGGUUUAUAGUAUUUACUAUAUAAGUAUUAAUAAUUUCAUUAUGUAGGACCGUGAGCAAGUUGGAACAACUAGCAAGCAAAAACAAAAAUUCACGCACACGCCAGGGUCGAGAAGUUUUGCUUGUGUAGAUGAGGCUGAGGUAUUAUGAAUUUAUUAAUUCUGUCAAUUAUUAAUUAGUUUCUACUAUUAAAUAAUAUUUUUUAUACUAUAUUGUAGGAAGCCUUGUCUGGUUAAAAAGUUGGACGCGUUUAACUUUUUGACAUUACUCAUAGGAAGAAAGAUGGAUCUCCGAUGACAUCCGAAGUUGGAGAAAUUAUGGUAUAUUUACUUAAUAAAUUUUUAUUUAUUAUAAAUAUUUAUAAUGUUUAAUUAUAAUGGUUUAAUUCGUCGUUAGUAGUUUUAAAUAAUGUUAAUUUAUGUUGUAUUCCUUUUUAUUAAAUAUUUCGUUUCUAACUCUUUAAUUUAUUUUUUUCGAAGAAACUAAAAGAUAAGAAAGCGGAGUAUGAAGCGAUUGCUUCAAUUGAUAGUUCUGUUAAUUUUAAGGACAUCGAUAACAUAAUUAUUAAUGAAGUUUUGGGUCUUAAAAGGUAUGGUCGGGUUCGAUUUCAAGGAUCUGGUGUUAUCCCGACCCAAUAUUUUGGAUCCAGCUCGCAGCACUACAUGCCUUCCGGGAGUCAAGCUCAAGCUAAAGUUCAAAGGUUAAGAGAGCAGAUAACUCAGAUGACUGACAUGCAAGAUAACACAAUUGAGCAAAUUGCUCAACUUAAAGCAGAUGCAGCAGCGAGGGAGGCGGCGGCAGCAGCGAGGAAGGCGACGGCAACAGCGAGGGAGGCAGAGCAAAAUAGAAAGUACGAUGAACUCCAGUAACAGCUUCAGACUAUGAUGAAGAUGUUCCAGUAGUCGCAAAUGCCGCCAUCUUAGACAUGUGUUUUAUUCUAACUUUUAACAUUAUUGUAAGAAUAUUUUAAAUUAUAUUUCAUUUAUAAAAUAUAUCAUAUAUCUUUUGUAUAAUUUAGAUUUACUAUGUUUGGUUGGAUUUUCGCAAAAAUAUUUGCUGUUUUUGGUUGAAUUUUAUGUAGGAAGGGUUGGAAUUGGUGAAAAAUGUGGGCUAACAAAUAUACCUAAACUAGCGGCGUUUGUAAAAAAAACGCCGCUAAUGGCUAAGACUUAUAGCGGCGUUUGCAAAAAAAGCGUCACUAAAGGCCAAGACUUAUAGCGGCGUUUGUAAAACAAAAGUGCCGCUAAAGGCCAAGACUUUUAGCGGCGUUUGUAAAAAAAAUGCCGCUAAAGGCCAAGACUUAUAGCGGCAUUUUCACUAAAAGCGCCCCUAAAGAUCCUGGCUUUUGUGGCAUUUUUUCAAAAAGCGCCACUAAAAGUCAGGAUCUUUAGCGGCGUUUUUUCAUAUAAACGCCAUAAAGUUUUCCGGCAUUGUCAAUAGCAGCAUUUUUCCCGGCGCUUGUGAAAGCGCCACAAAUAGUUUUAGCGGCACUUAUAAGUGCCGCUAAAGGCAAAAAAAAAAAACGCCGCUAAAAGUCUAUUUUCCUGUAGUGAUAUUAGUGCAUACUUUAUAUUCAUAUUUGAAUAAAUAUUAAAAAUAAAUGUCUAAACAUAAAUAUUUUAUAAAGAAAACAUAAACUGAGGAGUUGGAAUAAUAUUUUUUGUACUUCAAGCCAUGAAAUUUAAAUGGUACUUUAUUAGAAGGGAUUAAAUCUAUUUAAGUACCUUUAAGAUUUAUUUUUAAUCUUUCAAAUAUAUAAAAAUAGUUUUGACUAAUUAAAUUGAACACAUAAGUUGGUCUCUAAUAAAAAUAAAAUAAUUUUUAACUCAGUUGAAAUUAUGAUCGAUCCUUAUUAAAGGAUUCUCAUUUUAUUAUUACUUGCUUCGUCUCCAUUUUUGUCUCACAAUUUUGUUUUAAUUUACCUCAUCUUCAACCUAUAAAUAAAAUAUAGAUGUAAGUGAAUAUAUAGUGGAAAUAAAAUUUUAAUAGAAAAAAUGUGAAACCAAUCAAAAUGUACACAUUUCGAUUAUGUAAAAAGGAAUGAAUUAAGUGACUAAAAUUUUAAAUGGUAUAAAACAUUUGAGAUAUGUACAUGUUGAAUAUGAGUAUGAAGGAUAUAUCACAUACGCAAAAAAAAUUAAUGGGACAAGUUUGGUUAAGUAGUUUACCACAGUUAAUGCUUCUUUCUUGAUUGGCCCUUUACAAAAUUGAAAAUAUUUUGCAUCCGUUUUGGUUGCGGCUCUUCUUCCUCCGUUUCCUCAUAGAUAUUACGUUUCCGUUUUAUGUGAGAACUGCUACCUACUGAUCCAUGGUUGAGAGCAAAGUGUUGCUGGAUGUGUUCAAAAUUUGGAGAAGAUGGAGUGGUAUGGCACUGCAACUCUUUUAUUUCUUCCAAAUCUUUCUCGUACACUAUUCUAACACCACACUUCUUUACCUUAAUAUAAGGGUCACCAGGUCCAAAUUCGGCACUGAAAGACAACUCAAGCUCAUCGCAUAGUUGAUCUAAACAAUCUGUUGUCCAUAAAUUAUUGGUUCCACAGUCACCAUAUUUAUCCUCCAAGGAAAAUGGAUAUGAUUGAUCACGCGGAAAAUAACGAAGUAAAAGGUGAUCUUUCAUUAUGGGCUUGUCAAAGCGUUGAGCUACACACCGGUUUCUCUGACAAAUUGGUUGACAAUUUUUACCUCGAAAAAUAGAUCCAUCACAGAGGAUAUACUCGUUCCUUGAAGCAUCAUUAUUGACAAAAAUGCAGCAACAAGCAACUCCAAUCCAUUGACUAUCUUUCCAAAGGUUGAUAGGUAGGGGUAUCUUAAUUGAAAAGUCACUUUUUUGUUGGCUAAACCAUUCUGGAAUUUCACUUCCAGGCAUCAUAAUUGUUGGUGCAAGAGGCAGCAGCAAGCUGAUUUCAGCUUUGCUUAAACAGCAAGUCUCUGCAAUGAUUUGUUGCAGCAGAAACAAUCAAGGAAGAAAAAAAAACUUACAAUGGAAAACAGAAAAGAAAGAGAGAGAUUUGAAUGAAAAUGAGCUGAAUCUUCAUUAAAAUUUUAAGAAGACAUGAUGCCAAUACAUAUAAGGGAUUACAAUAGCAAAACAAACAAGUUACCACCUAAUAACUUACCUAACACCACUAAUUUGCCUAGUAACUUGGUAAACUUGUUUGAAUACAUAAACAUCUACCUAAACUUGUCAUUCAUCACUUAGUUACAUCAAAAUGCAGCUACCAACUAAGUUUGAUCCUAACUAAAUACAAAACAUUCAUUUGAAGAAACUAAAUGAACAGCUUCAGCUUGCUGCACCAAUUUGCUAUUGAAGCACGUUCCCUGCAUGGCCACCUUUGCUGCUGCAUGGGAGCUGACUUCAACACUCCUCCUCAGCUUCUAUGCAGCAGACUCCUAGUUCCCUCUUUAGGCUUAGAAAUCUUGAUACACCAAGAGACUUUGUGAAGAUAUCAGCAAUCCGAUUUUCAGAGCUGCAAUGAAUCAGCUCAAUUUCUCGAGCUUGUUCCAUCUCCCUUAUCACAUGCAGUUUAAUAUCGAAGUGUUUUGUCCUACCAUGGAAGGCAGGAUUUUUGGCAAUAGCAACUGCUGACUUGUUGUCACAAUGUAUCACAGUUGCUUCAUUCUGGUGUAGGUUUAAAUCACUCAAAAUUUUUCUCAGCCACACAGCUUGAUUAACAGCAUUAGCAGCUGCUACAUACUCAGCUUCGGCUGUUGACUGAGCCACCAUUGUUUGUUUUCUUGAGCUCCAACAAAUCAUUGCAGAGCCAAGUGUAAAAGUAUAACUAGAGGUGCUCUUCAUGUCAUCUUUUGAACCAGCCCAAUCGCUGUCUGUAUAGCCAAUCAAUUUCAACUCCUUGACCCUUUUGAAACAUAUACCAUGGUUCAAGGUACCUUUGAUAUACCUCAGAACCCUUUUUCCUGCUUUGUAAUGCUGCUGAUUACAGCAAUGCAUGAAUCGUGACAGCAUGCUCACAGCAAAUAGAAUAUCAGGUCUUGUUGCUGUCAAAUACAACAAACAGCCAAUAAAGCUUCUAUAAUCUAUUUCACAGACAGAUUCAUGUUCCUCUUGGCUCGAUAGCUUCAUGCCAAUAGCCAUUGGUGUGUUCAUUGGUUUACAAUUCUCCAUUGAGAAUUUAUCCAGCACUUUCAAGGCAAAUGUCUUUUGUUUCAAGAGGAUUCCUCCUUCUACUUGAUUGACUUCCAUUCCUAGGAAAUAUGUCAUCAAUCCCAGGUCUGACAUCUCAAACAUUUCCUUCAUUUUUGUUUUGAAAUUAGCCAACAUAAACUUGUCUCCUCCAGUCACUAGAAGAUCAUCAACAUACAGUGACACAAUAAGCUGUGUUUCAGCUCCAUUCCUCUUAACAUAGAGUGUUGGCUCACUAGCACUCCUUUCAAAUCCCAAACUGACCAGGUAUGAUUCAAUUCGAGCAUACCAGGCUCGAGGGGCCUGUUUUAGGCCAUACAAGGCCUUUCUUAGCCUAUACACCAAAUGUUCCUUACCAGGCAUUAUAAAACCUAGGGGUUGCUCGAUAUAUAUCUCCUCUUCUAAGAAUCCAUUGAGGAAUGCAGACUUGACAUCCAUUUGGUGGAUUGUCCACUGGUUCUGAGCAGCAACUGCAAUCAGUAAUCUGAUUGUAUCGAGUCUGGCUACUGGAGCAAAUGUUUCCAAGUAGUCCAGACCAUACCUUUGACUGAAGCCCUUCACAACUAGCCUAGCCUUUAGCUUGUUUAAACUUCCAUCUGCAUUGUGCUUCACUCGAUAGACCCAUUUUACACCAAUGGUCUUUCUGUUGGCAGGCUUUUUAACCAACUCCCAUGUCUGGUUCUUCACAAUCAUGUUGAUUUCAUCAACCAUAGCCUGUUUCCAACCUUCAUCUGCUUCAGCUUCUUCAAAACUACUAGGUUCUGCUAUAGCAGCUUGUGCUCUUUCAUAAAUCUCAUCUAGGGGUCUUGUGCCUCUCACAGGCGCAUCAUCAACAUCCAUUUCAGGACCAAGGUGCUCGAGUUCAGCUUGAUUAGGCACCAGGUCUUCUGAAGUAGCUUCUGGUUUACUCUUUUCCCAAUUCCAGCAAGCCUUCUCAUCGAAGAUGACAUCUCUGCUCACUUGGACUUUGUUUGUCAAAGGAUCCAGCACCCUGUAGCCCUUCUUAACUGAGCUAUAGCCUAUAAGAACACUUGGUUGAGCCCUUUCAGAGAGCUUGUCUCUGUUUGCUGCUGGUAUUUGUGCAUAACACAGGCAACCAAACACUUUCAGAUGUGCCAAUGAAGGCUUGAAACCGAACCAAGCCUCGAAAGGUGUCUUGGAUGUAGGAAGCCUAUUUUGAAGGUAGACAGCAGUGUUUACUGCCUCAGCCCACAUGGUCUUGGGUAGUUUCUUCUCAAACAGCAGGCACCUGGCCAUAUCCAUCAAGCUUCUGUUCUUUCUUUCUGAUACCCCAUUCUGCUGAGGUGUGUAGACAUUUGUAAGCUGGUGUUUGAUACCAGCAUCAUUGCAAAUGGCUUGAAACUGAGCUGAAGUGUACUCAGUGCCAUUGUCUGACCUUAUCGAUUUCAGCUUGCAACCUGUUUCUGUCUCUACUGUAGUUUUAAACUUCACAAACACUUGAGCUACCUCAGACUUGUGUUUUAAGAAGAAAAUCCAGCAAAACCUAGUAAAAUCAUCAAUGAAGAGGAUGAAAUAACUAUUUUUGCUGAGUGAUUCAGUCCUCAUUGGGCCACAUACAUCAGAAUGCACCAGCUGCAGUCUUUCAAAAGCUCUCCAAGCUGAAUUUGUAGGAAAUGGCAGUCUUGCCUGUUUCCCCAUUUGGCAAACUUCACACACAUCAUCAUGCUUUACUGAGCUGGUAAAGUUUUCUGCCAAGCCCUCUUUGGCCAUUCGAGCCAGUGAUCUGAAGUUGGCAUGUCCGAGCCUUUGAUGCCAAAGCUUGGAAUCAUCAACAGAAGCUGUGUAUGCUGACUUUGAGUCAUUUGGCCAGUGCACCUCAAAGCAUUUGUCAGUCAUUGUGACUUUCAUAAGGCUUGAUCCACUUGGAUCAGCAAUCUGGCACUGUUUGUCCUUGAACACAACAGAAUAGCCUUUCUCGAGCAAUUGAGCUAUGCUGAGAAGGUUUCUGUCAAUCUCAGGCACCAAAAGCACAUUUGGAAUAAUCUUGUUGCCUGUAGGAGUACUUAUCAGCACCUCUCCUCUUCCUUCAGCCCUUAUGAACUGACCAUUUCCAACCUUGACCUUGGUUUUGCAACUUCUAUCCAAGGUUUUAAACAAGGAGUCAUCUGGUGACAUGUGGUUAGUGCAACCACUGUCCAAUAACCAGCCUUUUGAGCAUUUCUUCUCAGCAGCUAAGCAAGACACAGCAAAGACCUGCUCUUCUUGGUCACUACUGUCCUCAGCUACUCGAGCUUCAACCUUUAGUUGUUGAAAUUGGCUCUGCCUUGGCUUGGUUCUAUUUUUGCAAACCCUUUCAACAUGGCAUUUCUUCUUGCAGUAUUGGCAUACUGCAUCUGGCCUGAACCAGCAUCUGCCUUCUGGAUGACCUGGCCUUUUGCAAUGUCUGCAGGGCUGGUCAUUGCUCCUUGCAGCAUCAGGCUUAGGUCUGCUUUUCCAAGGCUUUUUUUCUCUUGGAGCAUUGAUGCUCGAGGCUUCUCCGGCCUUGGCAUUGAAUGCACCUUCCUGGUUGUCUUCAGUUCUGCUAGCUCUCCUUUGUUCCUGAGCAUGGAAUGUGUUGAUUAGCUCAGUCAAAGAGAUGGUAGCAAGGUCUCUUGAGUCCUCUAGAGAGGAUAUCUUGGCCUCAUAUCUCUCAGGCAAAGUGGAGAGGACUUUCUCCACUAUCCUUGCCUCAUCAAAGUGCUCACCAAGGAGCCUUAUACUGUUAACCACUGCCAUGAUUCUGUCUGCAUACUGCUUCACUGUUUCUGCUUCCUUCAUCUUCAGGUUCUCGAAAUCCCUUCUCAAAUUCAACAGCUGUUGUUGCCUUGUUCUCUCAGUGCCUUGAAACUCCUCCUUAAGCUUAUCCCAGGCCUAUUUUGGAGUCUCACAGGCCAUGAUUCUGGUGAAGAUGACAUCUGACACACAGUUCUGGAUGCAGGACAUGGCUUUGUGCCUUUUGGUCCUCUCAUCAGCAUGUUGCCUGAUCUGAGCUACUGUGGGAUUAGCCCUCAGUGGUGCUGGCUCAGCAUCUGUGUUGACAACUUCCCACAGAUCGAAGGCCUGUAGGUAAGUCUUCAUCUUAACCAGCCAUAUGUGAAAGCCUUCUCCAUUGAAGACUGGUGGGGCUGCUGGUGAAAAUCCUGAAGAAGCCAUCAGGUUCCUUGGUUUGAAGCAACAGGUCCACUAAGACAAGGGCUCUAGAUACCAAUUAUUGGUGCAAGAGGCAGCAGCAAGCUGAUUUCAGCUUUGCUUAAACAGCAAGUCUCGAGGCUUGCAGCAGAAACAAUCAAGGAAGAAAAAAAACUUACAAUGGAAAACAGAAAAGAAAGAGAGAGAUUUGAAUGAAAAUGAGCUGAAUCUUCAUUAACAUUUUAAGAAGACAUGAUGCCAAUACAUAUAAGGGAUUACAAUAGCAAAACAAACAAGUUACCACCUAAUAACUUACCUAACACCACUAAUUUGCCUAGUAACUUGGUAAACUUGUUUGAAUACAUAAACAGCUACCUAAACUUGUCAUUCAUCACUUAGUUACAUCAAAAUGCAGCUACCAACUAAGUUUGAUCCUAACUAAAUACAAAACAUUCAUUUAAAGAAACUAAAUGAAUAGCUUCAGCUUGCUGCACCAAUUUGCUAUUGAAGCACGUUCCCUGCAUGGCCACCUUUGCUGCUGCAUGGGAGCUGACUUCAACAAUAAUAUCAACGAUGCCACCAUGAAAACGAUCUCUUGGAUAUCGAACCGCCUGCAAAAUAAACACAAGUCGUCUGGUAACUAAAACCAUAAAUUCUCAAGUAUGAGAUUUUGUAAGGGAGAAAAAAUAGAUUAAUAGACCUUAAUAUGUUCUUUCAGCAGUGUUAAUGCAUUGAUUUUCUCAGCCAAUUUGAAGCAGUUAAUGGCAGUAAUGCCACAACCCACUAAAUUGGAUACUUUUGAUGGACUUUCAACUACUUCAAGUGAAGAACAACCAUCUACCAGCACUUGUUUAUUUCUUGAUAGCGCAGGCAACAAUUUAAGCAUCUUGCAGUCUGACAAUUUAAGCCAAUACAGCCCGGAAUGUUGAGUAAGAGCCAAAGGAAUGGUGAUGAAAUUGUUACCACUAAGAUUAAGACAUUUCAAAGAGGAUAAACAAGAAAUAUCACUAUGACUAUCUGCUUCACCAACUGUGGACAUGUUGCAAUUUGACAAUAUAAGAUAUGAAAGCUCGAGAGUCGAGUGAUCAAGACACCUCAAAGAGGAUAAACCAGAAAUAUCACGUGGAAGAUCUCCUUCACAAAGAUUGCAAUCCCUUAGUUUUAGCUCUCUUAAAGAACUCAAACCUGACAACAAAGGCAACAUCCGAGCCAUGGGAUUCGUCCUUCUUCCUUGGAUUACCUUGAAAAGAGAAGGAAAAUUUGGUAGUAACUUAUAUGAUGGUCCCUUGCGCCCAUUGAAAGACAGAACUUUAAGAUUUUUAAAUUGAAAAAUGAAGGAUGGUGGUUCUGUUAUGGCUGUUUCACUCAAGUCGAGCUCUUCCAAAAACUUUGAUUGCUGCAAAUUCUCUGGUAAAUUUUCCACUCUAUAACAACCGGAAAGAUCUAGAGUUUUUAGACGUUCCAUUUUCCCAUCAAUCUCCGGAAACCUUACAAGACUUGAGCAACCCGAAAGAAUUAAUGUUUCAAGAGAUUCCAUUCCAAUUUUGGUUGGAAGAGUCCUAAGACUUUUGCAAUCUCUUAAAUUAAAAAGUUUAAGGCUGUUAAGCACCCGGAUUGAUGGAUGAACAUCCACUAAUUUGGUACAACCUUCCAAAAUCAAAACUUCAAGAUUUGAUGCUGUUGUGAAGUCUGGUGUCUUGAUCAGGUUUUGAGACCCUCUGAGGUUCAUUAUUUUCAAGUUAAACAAGGGCUGUUGAAGACCAUAAUAAAUUAGAAACAAAUGAGAAAACAUAAUAAUGUUCUCUUUUUUUUUGUUUUAACUUAAUCAAAGUUUAAUAAUUUUUAUUAAAAUAAGCUAAAACACAAGGAUAAGAUGAGUUAAUUCUUACUCUAUUUCCCUUCCAUAGUUGUUGAAUGUGACUAUAUGGUAAAAGAAGUGCGACAAGGUUGUCCGGUUGAAAGCUUGAAGGCAAGUAUCUUAAAGGGUAUUCUGUCCAAUCUAAAAGUCGUAGUUCAUUAGAAAGAUAUUUGAGAUCAUUACAAUUUGAAAGGCAAAGCACUUUGAGCAAUCUCAGUUUUUUCAUCUUCAAGAAGGUAUCCAUACUCAAAUUGAGCAUCUUGAUCGAUUCCCUAAUAUCCAUAAGCAAAACAAAAAUGAGCUUCAAAAUAUAUAAAAACAUUCAAUAUCUGAAAGAAAUGUUGCGCCGAUAUUGUUUUUUAAGUACUCGUAUCCAAUACUUAUAUCUAAUGCGCAUUCGUAUAUGGGUAUUAAGAUAUGAUCCUUUAAGAACCUUUUAAAUACAUGAAAAAAAUAAUUUUUAAAGUUUUUUAAUAUACCCAUAUUAAAGAGAUACUUAUAUCUAACAAUCACAUCCGAUGUUAAAUUACCUAAUCCUAAAAAAUUGAAUUAAUAUGUUGAUUUGUAUUUGGUCCGCAAACAAUGCAUAAUUUACAAGUUAAUGAACCAAACAAUGACACAUAAUUAAAAAUGAAACCAUUUUCAUUAAAAAAAAAUUGAUAACAUGUUAUAAUCUAAUUCGUUGAUAUACGCUUUUAGUACAUUAAAUAUAUACCAAUAAUUUUCACAACAAAAUAUACCAUUAAUAUUUAAAAAAUACGUACAUUUCUCUUUUGAUUCUUUUGAAAAAGUAAAUAUGUUGCUAGAUAAAUUUCAUAAUUAAACAUUGAAAUAUUGAAUGGCAAAAGUUUUGCUAUAGUUUUUUUUUUAUCAUAUUUAAAAACAAAAAUUAUUUACAGUACACAUAGAUAUAAGUUUAUGUGUGUCUUCUUACCUUUUAUUAUCGAUGAUUAUGCCUUCAAUUAUUGUUGUAGCCUAAAAAAUCAAGAACAAACAAUAAGAAAAUAAAAUAAAUGGUAAAUAAUGUAGGAUAAAAAAGAAAUAGUACGUAACUUUUGUUGAAUGACUUACAGUGUUUUUUCUUAGGACAUGAUGGACGUCCUUUUCCUCCCACAAUCUGCUACGUUUUCCAGGUUCAUUAACACAUUUUUCUUUAACAAUUGUUCUUCCCAUUUCUUGCAACAAGUCGUGCAUCUUCAAAUAUUUGUUGUGUUCAUCGACUUUUAGAAGAGAUUUUUUAAUGAGAACAUCAAUUCCGAUAUCAGGAAAAAACUCACAACCAUCUAAUACUUUGAUCACAAAAUCUUUCUCCUCCCCAUUGAAGAAGCAUGCUAUAUCUAAAAAUAUAUUCUUCUCCCUUUCUUCCAGUCCAUCAAAACUGAUUCGAAGUUUAUCGAGAAUUUCUUUAUUAGAAUCUCUUUUAAGUCUUUCAAUCGCACUUCUCCAUUGAGUCGCAUCUCUACCGUACAAAAAGGAGCCAAAAACUUCAAGAGCUAAAGGGAGUCCACCAGCAUAAUUUACAACAUGUUUAGAAAGCUCAAUGAAAUCAUCUUUCUGCACUGUAUCACUAUGAAAAGCUUUCAGACUGAAAAGUUGAAGCGCAUCUUUGGGAUUUAAUGUUGUGGGCUCAUACAUAUCAUCAACUGGCCAAGAUCGAAGCAAAUGUUCUUCUCUUGUUGUUACAACGAUUCUACUUCCUAAUCCGAACCAAUCGUGCCUUCCAACCAAGCAUUUUAAGUGUUGUAUGUUAUCAACAUUAUCAAGAACAACAAGAACCUUUUUGUGAGACAACCUAUGGCUAAUUAUGUCACUUCCUUCAUGAACAUCGAAAAAGUUGAAGCAUUCACCAUGAAAGAUCUGUGAAAGAAGUUGUUUCUGUAAAGAAACUACUCCGCAUUUGUCUGAAACUUUUCGAAUAUCAGCAAUAAAGCUUUUCCCUUCAAAAUGAGGUGGCAUUUGAGUGUAAGCAACUCUUGCGAGUGUCGUUUUACCGAUGCUACCCAUCCCGCAAAUUCCUAAAACGCGGACAUCAUCUUCCCCAAUGUUUAUUUUCAAAUACAAAUCCUCCAAGCGUUCACUAAUACCAACCAAGUCGCUAUGAGUAACUGGAUAUGUCUGACAUAGUUUUGCUGAUAUCUUCUUAACAAUGUCUCCAAUAAAUUCAGAUUCAUGCCUAAAAAAAGAAAUUUUAAUGUUUUGAGUGAUAUGUUUCGAAUGCACUUUCUUUUUCAAUGAAUCAUGAAACAUAAAAUAGUUUGGAAGAAAACAAGAACCAAGAAUAAGAAAGCAAGAUCUGUUGCCGAGCCAGAAGACAAAAUUUCUCUUUUAUUGAAACACUUUUCAAUUAAACACAUCGGAUUAGAAAAAAAGAAAAAAGUUAUACAUACAUACAUAUAUAUAUCCAAAAAACUAGAAAAUAGAGAAGAAAAGAAAGAACUACCUGUUAUUUAAAUGCCAUCCCUUGACUGCAGCCACUUGAAUUAAAGCAUUUCGCCACUUUUGGAUCUUCUCACUUUCUUCUUUGUAUCUCUCUUUAUGUCUGGCAAAGGCUUCUUCCACUUUCCCUUUUUGUUUUCUUAAAUCAGAUGGAUCAACAUCGUAAAAAAUUGGAAACACUUUAUGGCCGUCGUUGUUAUGUUGUUGAACAAUCUCAGCAAGCUCCUCCAAGCACCAACUUGAAAAGGCAUAAGUUUGUGAAAAUACGAUUACCGAGCACCAUGAUUGCUGAAUUGCUUUAAAGAGUUCUGGCGCGAUCUCUUCGCCGCCCUCCAGCUUUGGAUCAUCCCUGAAAGUGACGAUCCCACUCCUCUUUAGAGCAGCAUAGAGAUGAUCGGUGAAGUUUUUGCAAGUAUCUUCACCUCUAAAACUCAAGAAAACAUCAUAUUUCUUUCUAGAAAUGUAUGAGGAAGUUGAAGGUAAUGACAACAUGACGAUGUUUGAGAAGAAAAAUAUAUAUGUGGAUGUAGUGUUCAAAAUCAGAAAAAUUGAUCGCUCAACACGCCAGAAAGAAACUAGAAACAAUAAGUAUAUGAGAGUGAAGAUCGAGAAAAACAGGUGAAAAUUCCAGGGAAGAAUAAAGGACGUUUCUAAGCAAUUUCUCUGUAACCUUUGGAUUUUCGAAAUGAAUACGAGUAGGUGUGGACAUUGGGUAUUGCAUGUUCUUUCCAGGAAGAAUCCAAGAAGGUGGGUGUUGACAAAAUGGAGAUUACAAUAAUUCUAAGUAAUAAGUAAAGUGUUGGACGGUUUGUGUUUUACUUUCAUUUACAUAAUCAUAUAAUUGUCUAUAUAACUAUAUAUUAAAGGAGUAUUUGGAGACACCUGUCCAGGGAGGACAAUGUGUUAUUUUAAAUUCAGUCCCCCACAUUUUGCCUUUUAUAUGAUUAAGUUCUAUUUGAAGUAUUUAAAAUGUUCAUUAGGUGCAGACUAAAAUAACUUAUAUUUACUCACUAUCAUAACAUUUUAUGUAUGAAUACAAUUUAUUAAUUUAAUGUAUAGGAUUUUUUUUCUUUUACAUUAUAAGAAAAUGUUAGAAUUUCAAUUUUAAUUUUUUUAUUAUGCCUAAAUUUAAGAUUUAAUUUCUAACCUAAUUUAAUCAUAUAUUUUUAUAAUGUUAUUAGUUAGCAUAUAAUUAAUAUUGUUGACUUUUCUAUUAGUUAGAGCAUCAUAAAUAUGAUCCGUGAAGUUUUUGCGAGUAUCUUGUUAGAAAUGGAGGAAGAAGUUGAAGGUAACGACAACAUGAGGAUGUAUGAAAGGAGAAGGAUACCUCAAUCUGGUGUUCAAAAUCAGAACAUAGAUCGCCCAAUAUCCACAAAGAAACUAGAAAAAGUAAGUAUAUGAGCAUAGGGGUCAAAGAUGAGCGAUGGAUGUUGUUUCCAAGAAGGUGAUAGUUGGCAAAGUGGAGUCUACUUUAAUUACAAGUAAUAAUUAAAAAUGUUGGACGGUUUGUAUUUUACGUAUUUAAUAAUUAGCAAUGUUAAUGGAUUGAUGUUCUCAGCCAAUCUGUAGCAGUCAGUGGCUCUAAGGCAAUCAAUGCCGGUAGGGCAGGCCAAACACGCUAAAUUUAAGAUUUUUAGAUUGAAAAGUGAAGUAUGGUGGCUCUGUUAUGGCUGUUUCACUUAAAUCGAGUUCUUCUAAAAACUUCGCUUGCUGCAAAUUCUCUGGUAAAUUUUCAACUCUAUAAUAACCAGAAAGAUUAAGAGUUUUUAAACAUUUUAUUUUUCCCAUCGAUAUCUGGAAACCUUUGAAGAUUUGAGCAACACGAAAGAAUCAAUGUUUCAAGGGAUUUCACUUCAAUUCUGGUUGGAAGACUCCUAAGACUUUUGCAGUCUUUGAAAUUCAAAACUUUAAGCCUCUUAAGCACUCCCAAUGAUGGAUGGAUAUUUACAAUUUUAAAGUCUAGGGUAUUGAUCAGGUUUUGGGACCCUUGAAAGUUGAUCACUUUCAACUUAUAUAGGGGCUGUUGAAAACAAUACUUAAAAAGCAAUAAAAAAACAUAAAAAAAAAACCCUCAAUUUUGUUUUUAUAUUCUUAUCAUAAUCAAAUUUCAAUCAUUCAUCUUAAAAUAAGCUAAAACAAGGAUCAAUGAACUAAUUCUUACUCUAUUUCCCCUCCAUUGUUGUUCAAUGCGAGUGUGUGAAAAGAGAAAUGAAAGGGUCUCAUUUCCAAUCAAAAAAUUAACUAACGUUUAUGUAUAUAGUUCAUUGCUUUUAAAGUUUUGUUGUACAGGGAUCGGUGAUCGGCAUGGGAAUUACAUGCAAGAAGUAGAAGAGAAGAAGAACUGGACAAAACGCUGGAAAUAUCGAAUGUAUGUAUGUGUAUGUCUGUGUGUAUAUAUAUGCUACUAGCUCUAAGUUUCUCUUUAUCUUCUAUGUGUGUAUAUAUUGGUGUUUUUUGAUCUUAAAUUAUUUCUAUCAAGUUUUUUUUCCAUGUUGUCGCAGUAAAGAAGCUGUGAUUCCUAUAUGUUGCCGACGGUGCAGGGUGGCUGUGUGGUAGUGCCAGUGGGAAUCCCGUGUGGGAAAUAUGCUUGCCCAUCGAGGAAGGUGCAGUACGCAGCUCAUUAACAUGGUGUGGGAUCAUUAAAACAUAGUAUGUAUUGGAAGAGUUGUUGAAACCUUUUCCUUUUAUCUGUUUUAUGUUGGAUCAAUUUGAGAUAUAAUUAAUCACAUAAUUUGCAGGUUGUUGUUAAGAAUUAUUCUCAUCUUUUAUCUAUUGAUUCAGUCUUGUUUGAAUCGGAUU